CUUAAUUUGUGCUUCUUUUGUUCCGCACGCCUCGGACAGAGCCUUAAUAAUCGAAGCAUCCCCAAUCCCAAGCUCCAAUCCUUCAUGAGCUGGAGCAAUCGGUUCGCCAAAAGGUAAACAACAGCCACCAAAUCCUCUGGCGUCGUUUCCAUCACAGUCCUCAACAUGUUACAAACAAUUGCAGUUAUCGCAAUCCGCCCUGAUUCUUUAGAAAUAGCAUCCAACGCCUUGCUACAAACAUAAACGGCACCCUUUGUCCCUUUCCCCAAUAUGCCGCCUUCUUGGGAUCAAAACUUGCCGCCUUAUCCUUCAACUCAAGAAGGCUCUCAUCAGGAGUAAUUGCCACCUUAGGUUUCUUAACCACCGCUUCCUCACUUUUCCCCAGCUGGGCAUCCUUAAUCUUGCUCGAAUCGUCAUUUUUCAUAUCUUUUUCCAGCUGGGCUUCUUUAAUUUGAGCUGAAUCAGGUUCUUUGACUGAAAUCGGAGCAGAAUUUUGAGAAGUGAUGAUGGGGGUGGGGGUUUUGCGUUUCUUGGGAGAUGUUUUUGUUGUUUCUGCUCGGACUUUUUCUUGCUAGCAUUGGACAUGAGGAGGUCGAAGGCAGAAGGGCGAGAAGCCAUUGCUGCUAGUGAUCCUGGAUUAACUAAUGGAAUCGAGAGAAAGAAGGAUCUCUGAGAGAAGGGUUUUGCGGGAAGGAAGAAUAGAUGAGAAAGUAGGGCUUAAAGCCGAGUGGUUUUCUGAGGGGAAACGAAAGAGUGUGGUGGUAAAGUGGAGUGAAGAAGAGCAUGACCUGAAUGCGGUGAGCAACAGCUGCCGUUUUUCUGCUACGGAGAGGGAGACAACUGACACGGGUUGCUGUUGCGGAUGCGGAUGGCUAGGAGGGAAGAGGAAGGCAAAUGGCAGGAAAGGAAAUUGAGGGUUUUGUGCACUUAGGAUUGAAAAUUGCCAGAAAAGCCUUUGGAAAAAAAUUGCUGGGGAAGCCUUUUUUGUGUUUGGGCGAUGAGUUGUUAGCAAAAUCUUGAGAGAGGGACUAAAAUUUUCAUUUCGUAAGCUAGCAAUAGGUGACUUGAAAUUUGUGAUUUGAAGGUUUGAGGUGUACCCCCCAAAAAAAUAAUAACAAAGUCGUAAGCUAGCAAUAGGCAGACUAGUGAGUUAGUGGUUUAUUAGUGGUUUAUUAUACGUUUUCUUUCACUAUGUUCACACUCUGAAGUCUGAAUUAUUCCAACCCAAUUGAUGAAAAAUGUUUUAAAAAUGUUUAGGACAAGUGCAAUAUCCACAUAGUUUAUUUUUGUGAUAUGUCGCAUCGUGGAGUGGAAACGGCAUGCAUAUAUGCUUGGGCUCGUGAGUUAUCAAGUAAUUUAGAUUAAUCAUAUUUUGUACCAUAAUUUGGAUCAAAAGUUAAUUAGGCCAACCCGUGGAUCAAAAGCGUUACAAUUUUGACUUAUUUUAUUGAUUCAAGUUUGUUCAAAAACUUUUUUUGGUAAAAAAUUUAUGCGACAUGGAAACAUAAUUUGGUGAAUUCACAAAACCAUGUAUAUUGCACAUGCCAAAAUCAGCUCGAAAGUGGAUUGUCCAACCCAAUUGUAAUGAUACAAGUUUUAAAAGAUUAGCAAAGAUGCAUACGAAGUAAAAAAAGGUGAUUAGCAAAUGUGUUUACGAAAAAAAAAUUUAAAAGAAAACAGUUUUCCAAAAUUUUAACUCUCGCACCCAUUCCUACACUUUUCUACUCCCAACUGUCAAGUUCAGAAUUCGAACUUUGAACUCGACGACGUUGGUCAUUGGACCAAUCCCAAUGCUUAAUUUUACCAAACUUGCAAAACAAGAAAUAAGAAUAAAGACCGACCAAAACGUCUAUAAGUAUACUGAUCAUCACAAAUAAUAUAAAAUCUGUUUUGACUUGCCAAACUUAGGUUAUUUGCAUGAGUUUCUUCAUUGUUUUUUAAUUUUAAUAAUAAUUGAUAUCCCUCUUCUGAAGUCUCUCCACAGUCUCCACACACGGGGUUGAUGGAACAGUUUUUGAAUGAGAGCCAUUCAAGUCAUGUUGUUGAUUGGAGUUCCAGAAAAAAAAAACUCCAAAUUCCGUCUGCAACUGGCUGGGGUACGCUGGUACGAACAAAAAAUCUAUAAUAAGAUAAACAAUGGAAUGUAGUUGUAAUGAUGAACCCCUACCUAAACCUAAAUAAACGGAAUAAUUAAUACACCACCAAAUCAAUAAUUGUAUCAUAUUCUACAUGUUCUUUCCUUCUCGAACUAGCUUGCAACUGGUUUUGAUACGUCAGGUUUCUUUACAGGGACUAGACUACAACUACUUGUAUGGAGGAAGAAACUCCAAGUUCCUGAGUCCACGAAUUUCGGAUCCCACCAGUGAUUUUUGUGUUGUUGGUCAUGAUUAGUUUCUUCUUAUCUUCUCCCAGUGCAGGACGGUUGGUCAACUGAACAUGCAAGUUGAUAAUUGCUCAAUUCUUCAAUGAUAAUAAUGUUGAUGAAAAACUCACAAAUUAUGCAGAACGAUCUGGAGCAGAAGGGCCUGCAUUGAUUGCUUAUCAUGAGAAUCCACUUCACUUGGGCAGAGAGCUAGGGGGUGAGCAUGAGAAAUGGCAGCUACCCGUUUGGAUUGCAUUUUUCGUCAUUUUUCAUGAAAAAAUUACUGUAGCGAUUUGAUGUACGUAAGGAAAAAAGAUAAUAGAAAAAUGUGUUCACGAAAAACGACGCAAUUUUCUGGUAAAAAAUGGCAAUCCAAACACACUGGCUUCAACUACUUGGUCCACUAAUAUUGCUGCUGCAUAUGGAGGUUGAGAAACAGGGAUGGUGUUGGUUUGUGGGUCCCCCUUAGACUGACUUUAGGGUCCGUUCUUUCGUUGACUCAUGAGUGUUUCUAAUCUAACUGUGUGUGUUCUUCUUCUGUCUAUAGAAAAAAGAAAGUGUAGUAAACUUUUUUCAUUCUUAUUACUCCUCCGUCCCACUUUGAUAGUCUGUUUUUUUUCACACAAUUUAAGGAAAAAUAGUUAAUUUUGUUGAAAAAGUAAAUUUAGAUUGCCAUUUUUCUAAAAUAUCCUUACAUUAAAUAUGGUACAACUUUAUGGGAACUUAGAAUUGAUGGUAAAAAAAGAAUAAACUCUUAUUAAAUGGAGUAGAUUUAUAGUAACAACUACUUACAUUGAAUAAGGGUAUAUUAGAAAAAUUAAAAUACAACUACAUUCUUCAAUUGAAAAGUGGACUACAAUUUGGGAUAGAUGAAAAAGGAAUACAGGACUAUCAAAGUGGGACGGAGGGAGUAUGAUACUUUUAUUAUAGUUCAUAAGCCCAAAAAAAAAAGAAAGAAAGUGUAGUAACAUUUGAUUCGUAGUCAUUAUAUAUAUUAUUAAAAUGCAUGCAUAUACAUUUAUAAUAUUUUUUUAAUUUAAUUUCACACUUUCAAAAAAAGUACUACUGUAUGAAAUCAUUUUGGCAGUGUCCACUAGAUAGCAUUAGACAAUUAAGACAUAAUAGGGAUUGCAAUAAUGUUUUUAAAAAAAAAAUUCCAAUCAGUAACCGACACACUACUCAUUUUCCAACAUAGAACUACUGAAUUCAUGGCCACAGAAAAGGGAUUAAAUUUCUCUUUUAACUAUAAAUUGAGGGUUCGAACUUCACUUAUAAUAAAAAAAUAAUUUAAAGGAGAUAUUAAAGUAUUCUUUUGAUUUAAUCAGAUUUUUAUAUAGAGUCUUUUUAGACUUUUUUCCUUUAAAUUAAGACAGAUUAAAUUAUAAAAAUAUUUAUCGAUGUUAUAAAAUAAAUAAGUAUACCAUAGCUUUCUAGUCAAAACAGGAAAAAGCUGAUAUGAUGAGUGAUGACCCUAGUCGCAGAUCCCAAAACACUGUCCACCUGAAUAUGCAUAUAAUUUUGGCUGGCUACACGAACGUGCAGGUUGUAAGACGGGGGAAGGAUGGUUAGGCAAGCUUGUUUUUUGGGUAAGAGAGGAGUUCUUGGUUAGACGAGUGAGAGCGUACGUGACUGUGCACUUUUUUUUUUUUUUUGGGAUAGAGCUCUAUUGGCAAAAAAAAUCUUUAAUAGCACCGCAAAUAUGUUUUUGUAUUACUUUUUAAUAUUUUUUUAUUUCAUAUACAUUACAUUAUAAAAAAUCUUAUGCUAUUUUUUAAAAAUAUUAUUCCAAAUAAUAUUCUAUCCAAAUACACUAGACUAUUUUAUUUGCAUCAUAUUCAAUCACCUUUUAAUUAUUUUACAUGCAUCGUAUCAUAUAGAAUGUGCUGUAAUGUUAACCUAAAUAAUUUUUCAAGUAAUCUUCCAUCCCAUUUAAGAAUAUUUAAAUGUACAAUUUAUAUUCCAAUUACAUCACUGCAAUGUACUAAAAUGAACCCCUCCCCCCUCCCCCCAAAAAAAAGAAUAAAAGGGAGGAUGAAAUGCUUUAUAUUCCAAUUACAAAUCACCUUCUGCAAUUAAUCACUUUAAGAAAAAUCUCAAACACUUCCCCUCCUCUUUUGCUUCAAAAGGGAGGAUGAAAUGCUUUAGUCUUCUCAUAAAAUUCAAAUGUUAAUUGCUUUCACCUAUUAAGCCAAGUGCCCCCAAUCUUGUUUAUACUUCUUGAACACCAAAUUCCACAGGACUAGUACUCGAUUAGUUAUAAACCCUUGUCAAGAUUCCAGUUUCUGAAUGCAACUUACUUCUGGAAAACCGAAUUCCACAUGACUGGGAACUCAAUUAGUUAUACACCCUCGUCAAGAUUCAAGCCGAUUGCAGAUGUCCUGCCAUAGAAUGGGAAACAGUGAAGAAAACAAAGAAAGGAUUCAUUUACUUUUCAUACCUCUCAUUGGUUGGGACAAAAAGUAAUAUUAGUCCAUCAUUAUACUAGUCCAAUACCUCAUCGAGACAAGAAAACGCGUUAUAUCAUUUCUUGGGUCAUCCACGUGUUUUUACUUUUCCUUUUUUUUUUAUGCUUUUGCUUUUGGGUACAUAUACAUCAUGAUUUUUAGAUUUUUGGCAAAAAAAAAAACAUUUUUGAAUAGUCAUUACAUUUUAUAUUGAAAUAUGCUCAUAUAGAGACAGAAAUGUCCAUUAUAUAUAAACUUAUAAAAUCACACAAGUCAAUAUGCACAAUUAAUAAUUCUCUAUUCUCAAUAAGUUCUAAACUGUUGAUUUAACUUUUUUAUUUAGACAAAAAAAGUCGAUCGGGGCGAUUAUUAAGUAUAUCUAGUAGUUGAAUCCAAAAAUCUACUUGGACACACGAGAAUUCCACUUGAUUUUAUUUAACGUGUCAAGUGGACUCCACUUAACAUGUAAAUAUGCAAAUGGAAUCCUUAUAUAUCCACAAGAAGCUUCACUGUUGAUCUUGGACUAACUACUAGUAGUUGUUUCGAGAACCGACAUACAAUUUCUAGUUUAGUUUAGUUUUUGGAGUAUAAUUAACAUUUCUUUAAGAAUAAUGUAGCACAGAGUAACACCAUACAAGAAAUAGUAGUAUUUUCUCGUGAAUAUGAUGUAUUUAGUGGAGUUCUUAUUGGAGUUUAGUAUAGAUUUUUGGGCUUUGCUUUUGUUUGGACAAAUGACUUGGGAUUUUCCCUUCGAUUUUGAUCUAAAAAUUGACGACUCACCUAAAUAAGAACUUAGGUAGGUAGAGACUAUCGGCAUGGACUUUGGAUCCCCAACACUUUCGCCAUCGAAUGGAUUCUACUACUACUACUACUUUUUUUUUCCUUUUUAAAUUCAUAUGACGGGGGCCCACAAAGCUUCACAGAAAACACACUGCCCCACACGGAUUUAAGACUCGAUUUUCCUGGAGUCAGUUGCUUUGCUCAUUGCCCUCUGUACUACUAUGAGAUUGCGGGUGGGGUCCCCAAUCCCCAUAUGGUGACCGGUAAUUUGCAAUUUUCCAAUGUUUUUAAACUCGGACCGGUCAGUGAACCGGAGAGGUUGCCGGUUCGCGGUCCGACUGAUUCGACCGGUCCAACCGGCCGGUUCACAGGUUCACUGAUUUUUUUUUUUUUUUUAAGUGUUAAGUACUAAACAGGUUUAAUUCUACACUUGAACUUUACCAACAUAACUUAAUUUAAGUUAUGAUAAUAAUAAAUUUCCUAAAAGUUAUACAUAAAACAUGGAAUGAUAAAUAUAAUUAAAAUAUCAUAAUUCACCACAAGUUUUCAUAAAUUCAUUAUAAACAUAAAUAGAUACAAUCCAAAUGUUCACCAAUUAUCACAAAUAAAAACACAAAAAAUAAAUAAAUUAAAUAUUGAAAUUCUUUUACAACCCUUAAAAAAAUCCAUAAAAGAGUUCAAGUUAAGACAAAUAAUUUGAAUAGCAAACUUUUAUGAGUGGCAUGAUAAGCAACCACAGCACCUUCACAAUUUAAUCAACUUAAGCUGAAAAAGUUAAAAUUUUAUUAUAAAAAUAUAAAUCUAAUUGCUCAAAUUAAAAAAAACUAAAAAUUUUUGAAAAACAAAUAUACAGUUAAACACAUAAAAAAUUAAUUGCUACUAAACAUUACUAAUUAACAUGUUAUAUUAAAUUCAAUGAUCCUAUACCAUUAAUUAUUUUAAAUUCAAUUAUCAGUAGCUUCGAUUAUGUGCUAACUAUCAUAUUUUUGACCAGCCCAAUGUUAUUAUUUAUAAUUCUUACCCAAUUCCUACAUGGAUGUGCACUACUUUUGCAAAAAUUUCAUCAUUAAUUAAUCAAAUAAAAAUAAAACAAAAAAUGAGGGAAACAUAUGAAAAUUGAGGGGAAAAAGAAGAAAAUGCAAAAAAAUCAACUAAAGAUAAUAAUAUAGAAAAAAAAACCUUGAAAAGAAAAAAAUUAAACUUACCAAGAUGUUGGAAAACAAGAAAAGUCGAAUUUUCAACUUGUUUACAAUCUGCUAAAGAUAAUAACCUGAUAAUAAUGGUGAAGACUUGAGAAAAUCUUGUUGUGGAUAUUUGGGUUAAAAAUGGUUAAGAAGAAAAAAUUGAAAAAAAAAAUAAGAGAAGAACUUGAUGUUUUAAUAUAUUUUUUAGUCAAGUAGAAUUCUCAACAAACUUAACUACAGUCUAGCGGUAAGAUUGUCAUAUGCAAACUUGGAGACUCGAAUUAUGGCUACACCAUUCUUGAUAUUUUGUUGAAAAAUUUAAAAAACCGCCGAUUCACGGUUCUUAACGGUUCACACGGUUCAUCCGGUUCGUCCGAGUUUCAACGGUUCUCCAUGAACUUCCGGCUUUAGCAUUAGACCGGACCGGUGACAUGGCCGGUUCGCGGUCCAACUGGUCGAACCGGCCGGUCCGGUCCGUGUGAGAACCCUGAAAAUAGAUAUAUAAGCCAGUGCAUAUUUCAUUUGCAUUUUUUUUAUUCCUUAAUAAUUUCUAACAUUACCUUUACUUGUUCGCAAUUAAGUACGUAAAAAUAGAUUUAUGAAAAAAAUAAUAUAAUUUUCCUAAGUUAUGAAAUUUCUUGGUUUUGCUAGACUAAAUUAAAAAUCUUUAGUGUUAGAUUAAUUUUUCGCCUUAACAUAAAAUGUUAGAAUACUUAAUUCCUUUAUGCUAAAGUAAUGAUAAUGGAAUCGAUAGAUUUACUAUCUUUAAAUAAAUUAUUUAAGUUCCUAUGAUUAAUUCCAAUUAGUUGCUAAUGUUAAAUGUUAAUAGGAAUUUCCGCGUUAAGAUAAAAAUCAAUGAAUUUUAGAUAAAUAUGAUAUUCCUAUACUAAACAUACUUAAGGCAUGAAAAUUCGAUAAAUAUAUCAUUAUCUUUCUUUAUUUUUAUAAUAAGUGCGUAAAAAUAAUUUUAUGGGCAAAUUGUCGCACUUGUAUGAAAUUAUUAUUUCACUUUACUUUAUAUUACUAAAUCGAUAAAUUUUGUGUAGGAUAACUUUAAUUCUUGAGAAUAAAUAAUUGGAGAUGCGGAUAAUUAAGUUAAUCGCUAAAUAAUGUUAGGAACCUUAAUAUUUAAGUUUAAUCGAUAUUUAUUCGAUAAAAAUGGUUAAGUAUAUUGGGGGGUUAUUAGGCGUUCAAAUCACUCUUGAGGAUAAAUCUUAGAAAUUAAGUUGAGAUUAGAAAACAAAGUGAAAAGACUAAAAGACCCUUACAAUUUCAUACGAAACCAAACGACCCCUAUGACAAAAUUCCCAUCACCGCAACUUCGACCAAUUACAUUUUAACCAAUUCGAUACGCAAACCUUUCGUAAACCGCGGCACCACAAAACCACUUGAUCAAAUUCACACUACAUCUCACAACCAUUUCAGCCGACUCUUUCUCUGCACAAGCCAAAUCCGCAAUCCAUUGCACUCCAAAUACCACGAUACCAACCACUCUACUCUUUCAUUUUUGAUUCACAACAAAACCUCAUUUCUUCCCUGCCUUGUCCGAGAGCAUCCGAGAGAGUGAGAGAGCUGCUGGAAAUUUUUGGUCCUGCCGUGAGUAGAGCAAAGCCAGGAAGGAGAAUCUGCAGGAAGCUACACCAUCUCACCUUCAUCCGCAACCCAAUUCCAGCCGCAACUCAAACCAGGACCACGUCUGAACUUGGCCGAGAGUGAGGGAAGACAUUUCUGGAAAAUUCGUGUGAGGGUUUAGCUAUUAGCUGAGGUAAUUUCUGAACUAAAUAAGUUAAUUGCUAGUGAAUGAAGCCAUAUCAGAGGUUGUAUGGGUUGAUUGUGUAGUUGGAUGAUGAAAUCAAGAGUUGAGAAAAAAAUUCUGUUUUGGCUUGAAAUUUUUGCCGAGAGGUUUCUUGAUUAAUGUAGCCUGAUUUGGUUUAAUGUUGUUAUUUAAGCUUAUAACCAUAACUAGUUACUUAAUCACAAGUUAAUUAGGUUCUGCUUGCGGCUAAUUAGUUAGUUAAAAAAAAAAAAUGAAAUCAAAGAGCAAUCUGCCAAGCAUGUUCAUCCGAGUCAGGCAGGAAAAUUUUUGAAAAUUUUGAUGUUCAUGGUUGUUAUGUGAACUUGAUUUCCAAACUGGAAAUGUUAAUCAGUGGUUAAGCAUAUGCAUAUUGAAUUUGAGCUCCUAACACCUUGACUUAACCAAGGAAAAUCUGGUUUUAAAAAUCAUUUUUAUUUGCUGGAAAAUUUUAGCAAAAGCCGUGAGGUUUAAAUCUGGAAAUUUUGGGGGUUUGUAACCAUGACUUAAACUCAACUCUUGAUCUGGAAAUGUCUAUUGUCUAGUUAAGUAUUUGUAAUUAGGAGUUGAGAAUUUAAAAGCAUGUUUUAAACCAGAAAAUGAGACGAAAACAGAAAAUUUCUUCAUGCACGAUUCACGUAGCUUGUUGAACAGAAUUCUGAAAUUUUUGGAGCGUUUGAACCUGCUAUUCGAAUUCGACUUUCAACCAAAAAUAUUAAUUGGUUAGCCAAAGGUUCACAUGAUGAAGUUGAGAAUCUAAAACCAUGUUUAGCCGAGGAAAAAAUUUGAUUUAUAAACACCUCAAUGCUGGGGAAAAAAAAAUUUCUGGAAUAGCCGAGAGGCUUGAUCAGAAAAUUUCAGUUGUUUUCUUUUGAACUUUAAAUUAUUUCUGGAUUUUUCCUUGGAAUUUUAAUGGUUGAGAAAUGCAGAGAAGUUGUAAGCCUUAAGUUGUGUAAGUCGGUUAGCAAUGAAAAUAUUUGAGAUAUAUGGAAUAGUGGAACCAGAAAAUGUGAGUUAUACAUGUGGAAAUUUUUGUGUGAUAGCCAAAGGGUAAGUUGGAGCCUUAACUGGAUUUUUUUUUUAUUUGUUCCUUGAAACUUGAUGGAUGGAAACGCCUGGAAAAUAUUGUUUUGGAGUUCUACAAGAAGUGUAUGGAUAGGUUAAAUAAAAACAUGUUGGUGUUAAAAGAGAAAAAGGAGUUUUCACAAGUGAAAAACUGAAAUUCCAGAUUUUUGGAUAUCUCUGACCAGUCUCAACGAAAUGGUUAUAUCUUGGUGUGGAAAAAUCCGUUUAAGGCGCCGUCAGUGGCGUUCGAAACUAGAAACAUAGGUCUUUGUCCUGUAAAAAUUUCAUAUUUUUCCUCCAUGUGUACUGUUGCCGGUAAACCCUCAAAGUGGACUGUUUGGACGGAUGUCCUGUUUCUUCGUGAAACUGAAAUUUGGUUUGGAUGGAUAUUUUAGCUUACUUGUGGUAUAAAUUCUUGAUUUAAAUUGUGGAUUGGAAGUAAUUGAUGUUGUCAAGGGCUAAUGAUUGAUGAAGCCUUGGCCAUUUGAAUGACUUUAUAAUUACUACUGGAAGACGAAAGAAAAUUUCUGGAAAGUCUUGGAAGCUUUACUUUUAUUUUUAAUUGCUUAUGAUGGGAUUUCUGAAACCAAGUGCUAAUGAUUGAUGAAGCCUUGGUUGAUUUAUUGAAAAUUUAUUGAAGGUGGGCUCUAUGAAUUCCCACCCUGAAUGGAUAACUGAAUUGCUGAAAUUGUUUAGACAUCUGCGCUACUAUUUUGUAAAACUGUGAGUUGAUAUAAAUUGUUGAAGCACAGGGCUAUGAAUUAACGAGCCCUAGUGUUAUUACGGUUUAAGUUCUAAUUGUGCAAUAUUGAGAAAAUGUGAUUUUUGGAUUGGAAUCGAAAAUGUGAGAAGUUGUACCAACCUUGUGACUCCAAGUAAACGCUUGACUAAGUAAUUGAAAAACAUUUUGCUCUAAGUCUUGAACGGUACAAUUUUAGCAUAGUACGACUAAACAUAGUGUCUAAUAUUAUAUAUAUAUUUUUUUGACUUAAAAACUUGGGCAACAUGACUUUUAACCCUUAAGUUAGACUAGCCUUAUUUAUUUGGGAAAAAUAACUCUCCAAGACUUAAAACCUUAGUUUGUUUCAAUUUCCUUCCUUCUUUAUAAAUCGUUUAAGGCUAGUUGUAACUAAGGAAAAGUUUUAAAGGGUGAGUCUUGAUCACCUUAGCUAUAUGUAUAGAAACUCGCUCGGCAAGAGAGACAUUAUUUUCUUUUAGCAAAACAGCUUUAGCAACGUUUGUAUAAGAAACCUUAUCUUGAAGCCUUAGCAAUAAAUUUUGCAAGCACCACCACUCAAAAGAACUUUUUCUCAAGGUAUACUCUUAGCCUCGAUAUUAAAUAGCUUGCCGACUUAUUUUAAGAAAAUAAUAAUAGUAUUUUCUUUAAGAAAAGUAUUCCAAGGAAAAACUAAAGGAAACAAUUCUUCUACUUUCGUCAAGAUUCAACCUAUGGAGAUUCUUGAUUUUUCUAAGGGAAAGUGAACUAGUAGUAUAUUAGAUAUACCUCUAUAUCUAUAAGCUUAAAGACUGAGUAGAAACUUAUAGUUUCAAAAUUUGGUUUUUAGGAUACUGCGAGGACGCGGAAUUCGAUUCCCAACUUGAUAUCUAAACUUCACUCUGGGUGAGUGUCCCUGCUUGUUCUAUGCUUAACCGUUUAAAGUGCUUUCUUGACUUGAUAUGUGAUAAUUUGAAAAAUUGGUUUCUGAUCCAUCGAAGUGAGCUGUGUGUACUUUAUCGCACUAGCCGUUCGAGUGGUGACUUGUGCAAAAACAUUUUUCUUCUGAAUCCAUAAAUCUAAAAUGUAGUUGCGUCGUUGGGUGAAUCCCUCGACUUCUGUAUCCAACUAUCAUAAAUCUAAAAUGUAGUUGCGUCGUUGGGUGAAUCUCUCGACUUCUGUAUCCAACUACCAUAAAUCUAAAAUGUAGUUGCGUCGUUGGGUAAAUCUCUCGGCUUCUGUAUCCAACUACCAUGACGGGUAUAUCUCGAGUAUACUACGUCCUUAGUCGGUGAGCGGGCCCGGGACAGGGGUAUGAAAGGUGACGGGUUAGGAUCAAAAUGAGUGAAUGUACAUGGUCUCUAAGUAGUGAGAGUUGACGGAGGGUCAACUACGAUGAAUGGUGUUCAAGCGAGGAAAAUGGCUCCUGAGAGCCCCUGUAUCCUACCUUGUGCUGUUAUACGCUUUCCUAACUGUUUAAAUUUGCUGAGUUAUUAUCCGCUGUUUGUUAUUACGUGAUUGCAUGUUUUGGGGCACCACUGAGCUUUAGCUCACCCCACGUUUAUUGUUUUCCUUAACAGGUUCUGGAAACUGAAAGCUGGACACUUACUUAUGUUUUUCUUUUGGAUUGUAUUUGAAUAUUAUGACUUAUUCUGUGGGCUGUAAUGUGUUAUCUGGGAUAAUGUAUUUUUCCUUUUUGGAUUGCCACUUGAAGCUGGAAAAUGUGUAAACCCUAAUUCGAUUACUUGGUUUGUAAGUUUGUAAUAGAGAUUUAUGGAUUUUAUCUAUCCGGUUUGUUACGACUUAUUUCUUUGAUACGUAGCAUGUAGGACGUUUAAGGGCCUCGACUGGUUAUUUUUAUCACUGCUAUCUCUGAAGUUAAUGUGGCUUUAAGGAUGAUCUUAUUCGGGGAAAAUUGUUUUGUAAUAUAUUAGGUUAUUCUUCGAAAGGUUCGGGUUAGAUUGCUCGCAUGAGUCUUGGCGAGAGUUGGGCAGACGGCCCGCCAACCCUUUGGUUCGCCUCAGGGGGAAGUGGGGUCGCCACAGUCCGGUUCUGAAAACACUGCAAUUUUCAACUCUCACAGUUUUGCCCUGCUGCGUCCGGCGCACCUGCCCUUCCAACGGUUUGAAUGGGUCGCGUCAUUUCGUCUUUGAUCUCAGCCGUCUCUUUCAAAAAUUAUAUGUGUUUUUUUUUUCAAAAAAAAUAUUUUUCAAUUAAACAAUUUUUUUAAGUGUUUUUUUUCAGACUUUUAAAGUUAGUUAAUUAAAACCUUCAAAUCUUACGAGGGAGGGAGAAAAGGAAUAGGAAAGGCUUGACGGUCAGAACCUAGGAAGGAAAAGUUUUUGUUCUUAGCUCCGCAUAGUUGAUGCUAUGUUACUAAAACAUGAAAGAAUAUGAAUUGAUAGUUUUGGUAGAAAAAUUUUAAAAUAUUUUUUUAAUACAUUUUUCAAACGUCAUUGUAUUUCACAUAUAUUACAUUAUUACAUUAUAAUUUUCUACAAAAAAAAAUAAACUUAAAAAGAUGGCAAUCCAAAUGAGACUGAAAUCAAUUUUUAUGUGUAUGACUUCUUAAAACGAAAUUCCUAAAGUAUAUAUAUAUAUAGGCUAAGAGUUUAUGUCUGAUAAAAGAGGGUGCAAUUCGACAAUCUUUCAGAUUUUUUUAUAGCCGUCCAAUUGAAAAUUUGAAACUGAGUUAUCUAUAUAAGAUAAACAUAAAAGAAAAGAUUUAAGCACUAUUUAAAUUGUAAACUGAACCAGAGUCAAUAGAUUAAGACCCGUUAAGAAUUUGGUGUGGUCUGCCUUUUGGUGGACAGUUUUACUGCCAUUAAUCCAUCACUUGUUUAUCCCUCUUUACAUUUCAGUUUCUGCGUGAAACUUGUAAUUAACCUUCUAAUACCAAAUCAAUAUGUGUGUAGACUGUACACAUUGAAUAUUAUUUGAGAUAAUUUUUAUUAAAAAAUACUAUAAUAUAUUUUUUAUAUAAUGUAUGUAAUAUAAAAAUAAUUAAAAAUAUAUGUAUCAUACGAGCAAAUAAAUUUACGUAAAUAAUUUAUUAUCCAGACACAGUAGUCUUUACCGUACGCCUGGAAAUUGGAAUGGGAGGGGACGAAAAGAAAAAGCUUUGACACAGUGACAUGCAAUGGCUCCUCACAUCUUUUCUUCUGUGGAUGAACGAAAAAAUCCAUUUGCGUUUCGAUUGACAAGGUACCAGCUAUCCGACAUAGACGGGUUAUUCUUGCUUCGAACACAAGCAUUUCCAUAACUAUUGAUGAUGUCUCUUCGGGGACAUCCGAUAACUAUUUGAUGGUGGGGUUUUGAUGGUUUCUCUGCCUAAUUUUCUAGAUACAAAAUGAUACGAAAGUGAUUCUUGUAACGGGUGUUAAUUUGGCUCGGCACUCGUAAGCAUAUUUAAAUUACACUUAAUUUAUCAUGUAAUUUCACACAUUCACAUUUAUUAUUACUGUAUUUAGACCAUUUUUUUUCACAUUAAUUUUAAUUUUGUAAAAAUAUAACAUCUGAAAUCUCUCUUAACGAGUGCUCCUACGUUCAUAUAAAAUAAUAAUUAAUGUCUUUUGGUAUGAUAGUUUUGUCACAAGUACCUAAUAUUGCAUUUCAAGAUUCUUAAAAAGGAUCUACAUGUUUGAUGUUACUCUUCAUCCUAGUUAAGAUUGAGGUCCUGAAACUUUUUAAUCAACCAAGAUUCAAGGUUCUACAAAAUAGUGGUGGAAAAAAAUGGCAUUGCAUUUGUAUAAUCUUCCGUGUUCUGGGUGCUCCAAUGAUCCUUUCCAUUAGCAACUAAUUUUUUUUUUUUGAAAAAAGAUUACAAUUCAAACAAACCCAAUUGUUUGACAAAAUUUCUCAACUGCUUUGUAAUUCCAAGAAUUCUCAAGACCAACAUAGAGUUUAAAGGCGAGAAUCACAACUCUGACAGUAAAGGAUUAUAUUAAUUAGUGCGUUUGGAUUGUUGAAUUAUCUCAAAUAAUAUUUCACUUCCAUCAUAAACAUAUUUUUUCAAUAUACUUUUUUUUAAUAUUUUCAACUGCCUUUUUAUCUCAUAUACAUCACAUCACAAAAGUGUUACGGUAAUUAUUCCAAAUAAUACUCUAUCCAAACACUUAAACUCGGACCGGAGAGUGAAUCGAAAAAUUCAUCCGAUUCACGGUUCGACCGGUUCAAUUCCAGUUCAAAGGCUUAACAAAUUUUUAUUCAUUUUAGUAUUAAAAAUAUUGAAUAAAACUAAAAUAUUUAUCUUGGAGACUAAAGAUUUAAUAAGUACCGGUUGAACCUCUCAAUUUUUAUCAGUUUUACUAGUUCAAUCGACUCUUGACCGAGUUUGACUGAUUCAAUUGAUUUUUUAGAUUAUUAAUUGAAUUGGAUUGGAGGCAUAGACAGUUCGUGAUUCGAUCAAUCGGUCUGGUCUGAUUUUCGAAACACUGCUGCAAUAAAGAAACUAAAUGCAGCCUAAGGGCUUAUCGAAUGACAAGUAAAACAUCUGACCGAGUUAACCGUACAUCAAAGAGUACUGAAGAAAAAAAAAAAGAUUUCAUCCCAAUUUGCACGUUAUACAUGCACUUAAGAUUAUUAAGAAAACACUGAGGAUUACAACUAUCAAAGCAAGCUAGGUUGAGUUGCUAACUUUACCAAGAACAUAAAGCAUGCCGUGAACAUUAUUAAUAUAUAGUUGCAAAAUCUUUUAUCUUGAAAUUACUGAUGCACAUGCUGUAUUAAAUAGCCAAAUUGUUCAGAUAGACCAAUAAUUCACAAUGAGCAGAAUAACAGGUCGUCAACCUAGGAAGUAGUAAACUAAAAGUCGUUUUUAAAUAAUUAACUCAAUACCAUGAGUUAAUUGGACACACACACACUAUAUCUUAAAUAAGUAAAUAAUUAGUGUCGAGGGAGAGGAUAAUUAGUAGGUAGAGAGAGUGAAUAACUUUUUCUACAAGAGUGAGUAUGGAAGAACAUUCCAAUCAUAGAGAAAUGCUUUUUAAUUUUCCAUGAAAGAAGACUUCACCCCUCGAAUGGGUCUUUUCUGUGCCAAAUUUUGGUGGGAAUAUUUGGUGUUUCCCAGCAACCUUUUCUGACAAUCGCGUACAUACUUAUGUUGACUGAAAGGUGAAAAAAAGGUUUUAAAAAAUGGUUUUGAAAAUGAAGUGAGGAGAAAAAGAUAGAACUUGAAAAGGGCAGGCUGCAUUUUGAAGGGUUUGUAUGCUAUUCACUUCCACCUUCAACUUUAUGUUGGGAAAAGCACAUGGAGGCAUCAGUACACGAGUCAAAUAUAGCCAUUCGGUGAUGUUACACAUUAGACUAUCAUUACAAAUCAAUUUCCCUUGUAUUGAGUUGAUGUGUAGAAUGUUUCCCUUUGUAGCCAAAUUAGAGAUUUUUCGGUUUGAGUUACAAAUUAGUAGUGAUUCAUAUAUUGAAGAAGUAUUAACGCGCUUGUGGUGUUAAAAAUCAUCUCAAAAUGACUAUAAGAUUUGACAAAGCAAUUCUCGAAUUAUUUUGGGGAUAUAAUACUCAUUUCUUCAAUCACAUAUAUAUAUAUAUAUAUAUAUAUAUAAUUGACGAGUAUAUUUAACGAGUGCACAUCAGACACUUGUUACGAUGUAUUCUAGUGUAAAAUUUUUAAGCGCUUGGCAAGUGUCAUUUCCGUUCAACUGGGAAAUGGGAAUCAUAGCAUGCAAAAGGUACCAAACAAGUGUAGCAGAUUUUUUUUUUUUUUUUCGCAACGGUAGAUGUCCUAUAACCUAAUCUAACCUAAUUUAGGGGGAAGGGAUAAAGGGAGAUGGUCAACUAAAACCAAUCACAUAUUAUGGCAAAUUUGAGGGAGGCAGGGGUUAAACCCCUGAUUCCAGCAUCACUAAAGAGGGUGAUAACCACUGGACCAAAUUGACAGUGGCAAACAAGUGUAGCAGAUUGCUUAUGUUAAACUUGGAACUCUCAGUCAGUACUGUUGCAGAAAUUCUAAAGCACAGUCGAGUCCAAGACACAACAUGACGGUAUAACCACCUCCACAUAAUUAAUUAAUCAAAGCAGUUUAAUUGACGGGACAUUUUUUUAAGCCAAAAACAAAAAAAAGUUAGCUCGAAUUUCUAGGCAAAAAGCAAAAGAUACCCACCUAAUUCCUCACUUAACUUUUUAAGAACGAAUUUUAUACAUUUUCUUUCUGGUAGAAAAGGAUGUGUCUGUGUACCUCAUAUUGGCGGUAUAAUACUCGUCUGGUCUACAAAGUCUAUAAUGAUAUUCUGAGGAGGACCGAGCAGACUGCUCAUCUCAUCUUCAUAUAAUUGCAUUGUACUAUUCUAAAACAAUUGCAAAAUUUUUCUCCCUUGUUUUUUUGUCGGCAAUAAGAAUAAAAUUGGAAAGUAUAAUGCACUGCAGUACCCAAUCAAUGCUCUUCUUUUAUCCAAGAAAAUGAAGAAGAAAGAACAGUCAAAGGUGGUUGUUUGUCUGUUUGUUUGGAUGGAGUAUUAUUUGAAAUAAUUACUGUAACACCUUUUGUAAUAUGACGUAUGUUAGAUAAAAAAGUAUGGUUGAAAAUAUAAAAAUAUGAGUUGAAAAAUAUAUUUAUGAUACAAGCGGAAUAUUAUUUAGGAUUUACCGUCUGGUAAAAACGACAGCAGUGCAGUGGACUAGACAUUUUCUACUGACUCGUAGAAGUUAAAUUUGGAAUUUUGGUAGUCAAGUGGAAUAAUACUAGUAAGGUAAUAGAUAUGUAUGUAGAACCAAGUAAAACUUGGAUCCAUUCAAAUCACUAGAAUGUUUGUUAGAGCAGCAUCAUUUGCUGUUGUGGAUCAAUCGAUAAUUAUAUAUGCUGUUGUGGGUUCCGCUUCAGCUAAUGUCAAGAUUAACUCUCUUUUUAAGUGCAAUUUAAGUAACAAAGAAGUUAAAAGAACGAGAGAGGGAGUCAGAUAGAAAUUGGAGUGACAAAGAGGUAGAAAGUGUUCCAUAGCCCUCAAGGAAUGCUCCAACCCUAGUAAUGCAUAUCCACUUCAGUUAUCUUUCUUCCGCGAGCAAUUGAUUACUAAUCAAUUUCCUUGAUCUUUCUCGAUUUGUCAUAACCGAAAAAGAUGUGUGCUCAGCUCAUUUGAGGGGAAAUUAGCAUACAACUAUCAAAGACAUAAACUAAUAACAAUUCUAGUUUCAUCUUUUGAGUUAAUAAAUGACUAGAAUGGCAAGUAUAAAGACAUGGGAAAGGAACAAAACCAACUACCAUCAGCCAACCAAAAAUGCAUUAAACUUUGCAGAAACCUAGCCAAAUGAAUUUAAAUGUCGUAUGCCAAAGUAUCCCUUUUAUUUUCUUUUACGUGUAGAGCAUAAACAUAUAUAGUUUUGUCUAUCUUAAGCAGUCGAGAUAUUUCUAAUUCGACUCUCAAGUUCUUAAAAUUUUUUGUUUAAAAUAUGCAUAUACAGACACAGUCGGGAUAGGAGGAUAGAAUUGUCGUGUGAUUGGUGCAAGACGAUCAAGAGGCUGUCUUUACCCCCGCAUUUGGCGCUGAUGUGUAAUUCUCAGUUCUCCCGUAGAUGGACGGAUAGAUACUCUACUCCCACUAGUACGUACUAUAUCUAUAUGUGCUGCGUCGAGCCAUCUGACUGACUGACUUGUUGAGUGUACAAAACAAAUACCACUAAAAAACCCAGUCAGAUCAAAAUAUCAAAUGUGUUUCUUGGCCUUUGGGUCUCCUCCAACCCCGUAGGCUGCUCUUGGCCUUUUCUACAUUUUUUCUCCCACUCCACAGUCUAUACACCCACUCUUUUGGAGGGCGGGGGAGGAAAAUGUAACACGAACAAAUGUGCAAGUAGCAUGCAAUUGACUACAGUACAACAAACAAGUCCUUAUAAAAUGACCACAAUUAUCACUCCUAUUAUUAAUUACACGUUCCUCUUUUAGGCCUCCUCCACCCGACUCCCCUUGUCUUUCUCCCUUCCAAGGCUUCGACUUUAUCCAUCAUCAAUUUAACUUGCUACAACUGCAGCAGCACUAUGGAAAGCCAGAGGGGUCCUCUUCUGAAUUGGCCUUACUUCUACCAAGGAAAGGUUAGGCAUUAUGUAUAUCUUCAAUCCAUUCAUUUGAUCUGAUGAGAAUUGUAAUGUGUACUAAAGAUGUUUGUUUGGCUGAAACAGGGCAUGGAUGAACUGAGGCAAUCACUUCUGCUGACUACUAUGGAGCUGGAGAACACGAGGCUAAAAGCACAAGAGGAGCUCAAAAUGAGAGAUGAUCAGCUAUUUCAGCUCAAAGAUUUGCUCUCAGCAGAACCAUCAAAGAAAGGGAUGAAGCACAAGAACAAUGCCAAAGACUCGUGCUUGAUAAGCUACUGCUCCAGCAGCAGCAGCUGAUGCUUCACGCCAGAAUCAGCAAUCAGCACCCCUCUCUGGAAUUUCAAGCAUCGAAGAUGAGCCCAGAAGAGGAGGAGGAGGAAUGGACUCCAACAACGGCUUUUCUUCCUCCGACUGCGAAGAAAGCAUUGUUUCAUCGCCAAUUAUUGAGCAAAAUCCGCCGCAAGAAUUGACUUAUCAGCUUCAAGUUCAACCACAACAUCCCACAGCAGAAUUAGACCCAACAUUGCCUAUUUUGACAGACAGGCCAUUGCCUGAAAAAGGGCAGUUCUUGCAAGCUGUUAUGAAAGCUGGGCCGUUGCUUCAGACACUUCUUUUAGCUGGCCCUCUCCCACAGUGGCGCCACCCCCCACCACCACUCGACUCCUACCAGAUUCCACCGCCACCUACACCUCCAACACUAUCGGGUCACUCCCUAAAUCAAGAUUCUUUACUCACCAUUGCUGCCUACAAUAGUAACAUUAACAACUGUGGCAGAAUGAACAGGAAAAGGGGUUACUUUGAGGGCUCUGAUUCUUCAACUGAAGCCAAGUAUCAAAGGCUCGUUCUUCAAUGACUAGUAGUGCCGUUAAUCUACUUCCACCCCAUAAAGCAGAGUGAUACAAGUAGUUCUUUUCUUAGAGGAGGCUUGGAGUACGAUUUUGGAACCUGGGGUCAACUGAUCAUAUACUAGCAUUCUGUACAUAGUUCAGAAAUUCUUGAGUUAAGAGGCUGAAAAGAUCAGAGUUAAUCAGCUGUAGGAGAAGACUAGGGAGACAGGGAUGUUUGUUGUGGUCCUGUUUUUUUACUUUUCAGCUUGUUUCUGCCUCAGUAUUGGUUGGUUUGUCUGCUUCACCAGUGUCAAAAUUCCCUCUACCUUGUGCAAAGGGGAUUUGAUUUUCCAAUAUAAUUACAAGGGGAUAUUUUGCAGAUUCGACGUGCAAUUCAAAUAUUGUUGAGUUUGGUUAAGUAUGCAAGUAAUAAUGCAACAAUUUUGUCGCUCAUAAUUUAGUCAUGAUGCAGAUAUAUGAUGAAUAAGAAAUGCAUGCUUGUGAUUUGCUCAAGCGAAAGGGGCUAUCAGCAGAAUUAACUUGACUAGCAUGGUCGUACAAACGUUCACUCAACCUGCAAUGUCUGAUGUUCCACCAGCUAUAGUUUCUUGACAAUGUGUCAUGCAGUGGGAGGUGGGAAAAUAGAGUGGGGAAAGAGGGGUUGUGGGGGUUUGGAGGAACAUCAAAAUGUUUAUGUAAACGGAACAUCAAAAUGUUUUUUUUUUUUUUUAAAAAAAAAGAAGAUCAUGAAAAAUGGUAUUUUAGAACGUGGAUUGGUUACAUUGGAGGAUAGCAGAAGGCCAUAGCCAAGAGCCGCUAGGUCCAGGAGAGCCUUGUUGUCGGGUCGAGUGGUUCCCACAAAUCAGAAUCAGGAUCUACUACUUGUGUGUGAUUUAUUAUUUUAAGUGGAUUUGAUGCAUCUCAAAUCAUUUUUAGGUACAUUUUGAUCCAAAGUUUUCUUUAAUACUGCUGCUACUGCUUUCCCCAUUUCUCCAUCCACCCCCACUCCCCUCAUAUUUGGUUAGCUAAUUCCAAAAAGUUCAGUAAUUUUCUUGUGCCGGUCAAUUACAGAAGUCCAAAGCAAAGGCAAAUACAAGUGUGAGUGCGUGCUGCAGUUUCUUUCUUAUGUUCACAGGACAUCCAAUUGUUAAUAGACUAAUAGUAUGGACGCAGGGAAUAAUCCAACCUCGUCCUUUGGGCUGCUUCUAAGUGUUGCCAUUUCAGAAUAUAGACUUCGGAAGUUUUCACUGCCGUUUCCUAUGGUCCGAACACAAGCUACAAAGGCCAAUUUUGCAUUUUUCAUUUCUCUUCCUUGUCACUAUCCUUCUAAAAACAACCAAUUUCCAGCUCAUGGGAGUGCGGAGCAAGGCAAAGAAAGAGCCUCUACUCAGAAGAAAAAUGAAGAGUCGAGUCGAGUCAAGAGUCUAAGGUCCGAUAUUUUUAGUAGAACCAUAGAAGAUCAGCUAUCAGACAUUUUUAGCAGUGACUUGCUACAUUUGAUCAUGCGCAAGUGUGAAAGAGGAUAACGGUUUAGGCAUCUUGCAAAUGUUCUCGACUCCUGGGGUAGACACUUUAGACCAGAAACUCUCUUCUCUUCGUUGCAAAAAUUAACGGCAGAGUUUCAAAAAAUCCAAUCCGCCCUGGUGGCAGAAGUUUCUGCUACCUGAUGAUGACUAGAAAGAGUCAGAUGGAAGUACUAACGCGAUUGCGGUUCUUUGACUUCAAAAGUCUUUUAACGAACUCUAGCAGCCUCCAAAGGGAACGCUCUCAAGCCUGAGACCCAUCCUUUUCAAUCCCAUACCUAACCUACCCCCAUCCAUGCCUAAUGCGCGUUUAACCAACAUCAUUGCCAGGUUUACUAACGUUUCCAAAUCCCACAGCAGGCACAGCAAGUAAUCAUUGGUCCCAAGAACCCAAGUCUGGUGCCCCAAAGAAAAUUUGAGAAUUGAUAGAGAAAGACAAUAUCGUGCUAAUCACCCCAGACGUAGAUAUGAAACUGUGAAGAGGCAUUCCAGUUGUAUCACAACUGGUAAACUUGAAAUCCAAAACCCAACUGCGUUUUCCCGUGGAAACGCGAUGUCUUCUUCCUCUUGACAACAUAUGCACAAGCAGGUCAAGUAAAUACUCGGUCUCCAGCUGUAACAUGUGCCAUUUUCUAGAACACAUUCAGACCAAGUAAUAACCUGAGGGAUAAUGCUCCCACCGUAUAAGCAACAGUCUUGGAAGUCCGUCUUUCUUUUUCUUUUUUUCCGCCUUCUUUCCUUUGCCCAGAUAUAGAUCAAAUUAUACAUGUAACAGCUGGAAACUGCUAAAGCCAGAUUUUAAAAUGAAUCAACAGAUUAUAUGGGAAAACUGGAACAGCAAAUAAAAGGUUCCGAGUAUUGCAGCGCAUCUCUAUCUUUCAUAGCAAUAGAAGAAAGUUUACAGCAGAUAGGAGGGUCUGCAACUUGAAAACCAGAACUGUCACCUCUCGAAUUUUGGGUAUCAGUAUUGGAAGGAUGGGAAACCAGCAUUAGAAUGAUGACAAACUUAAUACCAAAAUGGCAAAAUCCUAAAUGUGUGCGUGUGUGCGCGCGUGUGAGAGAGAGAGAGAGAGGGAAUCCCCACCAAACAAACACACACCACCACAAAAAAAAAAGUUGCAAGACACGGAUAUGAUUGUGAAAUAAAUACAGGGUUUUUAUCUAAAGAUGCAUGCAAUCAAAAGUAUCUGGACAGGUUUUAACAUUAUUUUGGUAGCUGUGACUCAUAAAUCAUAAUUCAAGAAAUUAAAUGGGUUUUAAAUGACAUGUGCCAUCGGUUAUAUUACUCGCACUGUGAAUAUUACUUAGAUCAGUGAAACCAAUGCAUCAAAUUUGACAAUAACACAAGUUUGCAGAGGGCACGACUUACUUUUGUGGAUGCCCAGACAUGCACAAUAGGCAUCAUUUCUAUAAAUGAACUAAAAUAUCCAACUAAUUGCUUUCAUUAUUGCUCAUCAUCAUCGCGGUUACUUUGAUUGUGUUUCUGAGCUCUAUAAAUAUCUGCUACCUGCAAUCCAACAACAAUUCAGAAAGAGGCCCAGGCAACAUUUCAUUAAUGUGCGAAAGAUUAUCAGUGAAUUAAUAAAGAACCAGCAAUCAAAAGAUUUUUCUUUACCAUAUCAGCAGAAGAGGCAUCCUCUGGAUUCUUAUCUUCUCGAACCCGUAGUAAACGUGGAAACCGAAGAGAAAUUCCCUUUGGAAAAUUAAAAUUAACAAGGUGAAGGGAUAUCAGAUUUGAAUCACAGGAACAAAAUUUUUCAUUGUCUAAGAAUAACUCACGAUCUACAUAACAAUAAUCUCAACACCCGGUUUACCACUAGUUUGGUAUGUCAGAGGAAAAAAAAGUGUCACGAUGUGGCAUGAAGUUCAACAGCCAUAUACACUUUCCUUUGGGGCACGACGAGGGGCAGCACUCCCUCCAAAAUUGAAUGAAGUCUAAAGAUUUUACCAUGUACAUAAUUUAUUUUCAAAGUAGUCCUUUUUGACAAAAGGGUUUGCCCCUUCUAAUGUUUUAAAAAUCUUAUAGCACUUAACAGAGCACCGCAGCCCCCCCACCCCCCCAACAACAAAAAAAACACCCAGCGGCUAACAAAAAGUCUUGGUUUUGCCAAUGCUUGCAAAAAAGGAUAGAAUGAUAGAAAAAGGGAGGAGAAAAUGACCAGUAAAAUUAAUCUUAAGAGCUUAAUCAAAGUAUGAUGGAUUCACUGCCAGGAAGUUCAGAUGUAUUCUUUAACUUAAUUGUACACGCUUGGAAGUAAACAAAUACCUUGUCUGAAUCCACAAUACCAGUAGCAGCACGAUGAACAGGACUGAUAGUCAGAUCAGCAGCUUUUACCUCCCAAACCUGAAGGAGUAUGACUCAAAAGAUCACUGUAUGAGGCAGAACAAUAAUCUGCAUAAAAAAGGAGCAUGCUAGAAGAAAGUCUAUAUUCACAAGGAACGGGAUUCCCACAUGUACAACACGAAGAAUGCUAAUAAAGCAUCCAACUUAAGUCUAAAAAAAUGGAUGUAUCAAACAAAACCCAUAGAGCAAGAAAACUUCGCUCCCAACAUUUCUUCCUGAGUACAGAAACACUCUGGAAAAGAAUAUCACAAAACAUUGGCAUAGAAUUAUUGCAUAAUUCAUUACGAUCAAUGAGAAUCUCACAAAAGAAUAGACAUUGAGAGAUUAUGUGAGCCAGCUGGCACUGAUGUAAAAAGCAGAGUAAUGAAAAAAAGGAAGAAAAUCACAAACAAUGAACAGAAAAGGAAGCAGAGGAUAACUUAUACUACCUCAAUAGGUUCAAACCAUACAUCUGGAUUGAUUGUAUCUGAGUACCGGUAAUAAGACUGGGAUAUCAUUUAAAUCCAGAAACAUGUCAGAAUCCGUAUAAGGUUUACAGAAAUACAAAAUUCUUCCUAUUCAAUGAGGAAGUAAAUGAAAUACCUUUGGCUUGGGAAUAACUUUAGAGCGCAAGCUGGCAGAGCGCUCUUCAAGCACAGCUUCAGAAAAUCCAGUGCCUAAGCACAACCAAGAAGUUUCUUAUCACUUGAUGUCAAGGGAUGUAUGUAUUUAGAGUUUAGACAAAGUAAUUGAAGUUUCCUAUCAAGGUAAAUUUCACAGUGAACCAUUAAGUAGGCACAUUACCAAUUUUACAUAUGCUCUGGAAUUCUUCGUUGUUGACAUCAUAACAAGCAAGGAGAAAGGCUCCAUAAACACCUAAAAAUGGUUCAACAAAGUUAUGAAACCAACUUCCAAUAAAUGCAGCAAUACAAACCCAAUUAAAAAGCAAAAGAGUAUACACUGGUAACUAUAUCUGAAGCUAGGGUGAAGAAUGUCAAGCAUAGUGACACAAAUCUGAAUCUGAGCCAAAAUAAGCGAAUAAUCACUUAGUGUCCUCUCAAAAAUAUGAUAUGUCAAAUUACCAGUACGUUUUCCCCGGCCAUGGAAAGCAGCAAUGGGAACCAAAUCCAGUGAGUCACCCGUACUGCAGAUCAUAUAAGGUGAAAAGUAAGUUUUCAUCCUUGGUUGCUUUUCAAAUUUCUGUAGUAAUCCUUUCUCGUCGAGGCUACUACAGCAUGCCAUGAUCAUUCAGUUUCUAUAUUUAUGUUUGACCUUCUUCUUGACAUUCCAAAUCAAUUACUCGGGGCAGAAGUUCAGCAAAUUUAAGGUUGAUCUAGUAUUUCAUCCAUCCCUUUAAAUGUGUGCUUGCUACCAAUCCAGUAUUUCAUCAAUCCAUUGAAUGUAAAUUUGCCAUUUUUUGGAUGUAUCGAUUUACCUAAAAGGUAAAAUUGCUGAAUAAUUAUGCCCCAAAGGAAUAGCCAGUGCUGUGAGUUCAAUGCACAUACCUAUCCAUGUAAUCCUUUUUCAACUUCAGCCAGUUAUUUGACCGCUUGGAAGGCUCAUACGUGGCAUCUUUCUUCAAUGUCUUAAUUAUCAACCCCUCACAACUGCAAAGAUGGAUAGACAAAAUAACAAACAGUUCUUGUAGAAUCUGUAGAAACAUUUUUGUUGAUUCUGCAGAAAGAAGCUCCAAGCUAGGAGCCCUCAGGUGAAGCUAAGCACAUCUCAACUUUGAAGCCAGAAAAAAGGGAGAAACUACUACUUCUUAGACAAAUAAUAUUACAUUUCACCAUCUAUUAAUGCAGGGAAAAAAAGGGAAAAAGAACUCCUUAGACCACAGCACAUUAGGAACAUAUAGCAAGAAAAAAUGACAGAUGUACAGAGAAAAAACUGAAUUAAAUUAUCUAACUAGUUGACUUUUCUGACCAGCCAAAAUUCUAGUGCACUAGAAGCCAUAAGGUUGGAUGAUCUUAUAUUGCACUAGGCAAGCAUAAGAUCAUCGAAUACAACAGGUUUGACCUAACAGAGAGAAACUGUAUUGUACAAAACUUUGUCCACAGGCAAAAGUUGACAGAUAUAAUAAUUACGAUUCCGCCAAGUGCAGAAGUCAAAGAUUAAAAAAGAAAAAUUCUAACAGUAAAUAAAGUAGAUUAAGCCAAUUAGUAACAAUACAAUAAGGCCACGACAGGAAAAUGAUCUUGAACUCUGCAAAGAAGAGUUACCUGGCAUCAACAGCAGCUUCAAGGAACUUCUGUAUUUCCUCAAGAUCAUUUGAUGUUACUGCUGUAGCAAAUUGAAAAAAGCCAGGUUCUUCCUCAAAUGACUCGUAAAGAUGCUGCAUAAAACCAGUCAUAAAGAGUAAAGGAAAAUAACAUGACUACUAAAAGGUCGACAAUCAGCAUUAAAGAUAAUAGCCUGAGACAUGUUUACUGAGCAAGCACUGUCAUUUGGAUUCUUUUUAGUUUAUUUCAUCGUGGGAAAAGGAGAGGAGAGUCACAAGACGUUCUUUAUGCGAUACUCAAAACAUUUUGGUCAAACCAUUUUAGUAAUUUGACUUUAAAUAAAAAAUCCAAGAGUCUUUUUACCCAACGCUAAAAGCAGAUAAAGAUAUUAACAUCAUUGAACAAAAAUUAGCAUACCUGCCUUCGACUGUCAAGCUGUGCUUGUAGAAGAGGUUGGCCAUUGAUAUACAAGAUAUCAAAAGCAUAUAUGCAAACACCAACCUUUAUUUCACUCAAGACCACAUUUUUACGAGCCCGUGUGCUGAGGACCUGCCACCAAUUCAAUACUUUUAAGUCUGAAUUUGUAAUACCAUUCUUACAACUCUAGUCAUAUUAGUAGCCCAAUUAGUAAUGAAUCUACCCUUAGUCAUAUUCAUCAAAAUUUCACCACCUUCAAAUAUUUUAGAGCAGACACUGGACAGAUCAAAUUGGCCGAAACUUUAAUACCUCAACAGUCAAAAAUCUCCAGUUCCUAUCAAAGAAAAUCAAGAAUUUUAUGACAUCAACUGACUCAAAUGAAGCACCUGAAAUAGAUGCAAGAAAGAACUUGCACGUGUAGUUUUAAGAUAUCCCAUAGGGGGACUGAAGGUGUUGGGAAGCAUUUCAUGGGCCAGGCCCCAGGCAUGCCCCAUUUAAGUUCAUGAUGAGAUAGCCCAUAACAGAUAGCCCUAGGAUUUUGAGCAUGCUCAAUACCAAGAUGAUUCUUACAGCACCCAAAGUUGACGAGUUCACAAACGAAAAACAAAGAUGACUCGACCACUUUCUUCCCAAUACAGGAUUGAAGGAGAUUUGUUACUUUGCCAAUUUAAUACUUCAGCAUUGAUUGUACAUAAAUUAUUAACAUUGUAUAUGUUGUUGUCAUAUGCCACAACAAAGAUCAUGAAGGCUACACAAUAAGCAAUGCUAGAGCCAGAAUGGGAGACUUAAAUCAGUUAGCAAUCGAUUUUUCUAUUUAACUUCAAUUGUUCUGAUGUGCUAGCAUAGUUAAAAGGACCACUUCAGCAGGCCCAUGACAAAAUCAGAUUUACAAAGAUCUUGCACUUAGGCAAGCUCAAUAUUACAGAAGUAAACAGUUCACCUGGAAGGGGAGAAUUUUUUUCUUCUCACGAUCAAAUGCAACAAUUUCACAAUCAAGAACAAAUGAGGUUACAGACGGCCUUUUAAACCUGCAAUAAAACAGCUAAAUGUCAGGAAAAUUGAGAGAGAUUUUCUGGCAGACUUGUAAUGUUAGUAGGGAACAACUAGUCAUUCUUAAAAAUAAGCUCUACUGAUAUACUCUCAUACCCAACUAUGUAAAUUAUGUUUCUGCUCAUUAAGAAAGCAAUAGACUACAAAAACCCAUCAUGAGAAGGCCCACCACAGCAGUGAAAGUACAGUGCUAAGCUCAGACAGCCUUACUCAACCAAGUAAAGAGACUCUUCCUGUUCAUCAAACCAUUAACCAGCUUGUGACAGCAUGUUCCAAAUCAAAGUUUGAGUGGGCUACAAUAAAAGUACCUUGAAAUUGCAUCCACAACAUCAGGAUACUUUCCAGUGUUUCUUUCUGCAUUUCGACUAUAUAUCUCCACUGUACCAUCCUCCAUGUAGUGAAUCUGCAGGACAUGGUUAGACAAACACACAUCAUCAAGACUGUGAAAGGAAAGGCAUAUAACAUAGGCGUCAUGUCUAGUUUCUUGCUACCUGAGCACGUUCUCCAUCGUACUUGUAUUCACAGGUGAAUUCAAUAUCCUGAAACUUAUCCAAUAUUUCAGAAACUCCCUUAGUUGGUUUUGCUAGCAUAGGUCCAACAGGAACACCAGGUGAAAAGCUACAUGUCUUGGGAAGAUCCCAUACACCAUCAGCAAGAAGAGCAGAGAUUAUUUUAUCAUAGACUGGAAUUACCGAGUAAACUUGUUUCACGAUUUUAGCAGCCUGAGGGAAGGAAGGCAAUUUCACAACAUGUUUAUGCAAUAAACAAAAAACUCUCUUAAAUUUGCACAUAGUAUUAGCAUAAUAAUAAAAUCUAAUUAAAAAAUUUAUUCAAACUCUCUCAGAAGCUUAAAUUCAUGCCAAGAUACCUCUUCUAAAGAAGAAUCUAUAUUUGCAGGAGUUGAAGAUUGCUUAUCAGCAUAAACUGCAGCAUGGCCCAAAGCAGCUAACAGAGUUUGCUCAGCUAAACCAAUGCGCAGUUUAGCCUGCAUGUAGAGUUCAAGAAUAAUUUUCAGGGAUUAAAGGUGCCAAUUUGUGAUAUUAGAUCUUCAAUUGUCUCACCUGGAGCAGACGAAUCAAGUACUGAGGUUCACAAUCUGUAGCAGCAACCAGUAGUGCCUUGAUAUGAUUCUUUUUCUUCUCUUGACUAUCCUUACCAGAUUCCUAACGCAAAUCACGUAGAGAUACAGUUACAAAACUAAAAGAAGUAAACCGUUGUUAUGCUCUUCUCUAGAUCAAUAAAUUAUAAGUUAAUAAACAAGCACCAAUUCAUGUGCAUAUCUCGGCUGAUUACCCAUCAUCCCAAAAAAAAAAAGCCUCUCUCUCUCCCCCCUGAUGUUCAACUUUUCUCACCCGUCUCUCUCUCUUCCGUUUCCUCUGUAAUCUUUAUCUUAUUCUCUCUCUCUCUCUACCUAUGCUUCUCUUGCCCCCCUCGCAACUUUCACUUUUACCUCCUAACCCAUCCUCUCCUCUACCGGUCAGCCCUCCCUUCAACAUGCAAUGACCAUGGAAGCCAAGCUAGAGAUAGAUAAUUGAGGAUUUUUUUUGUUGGUCUCAUGGUAGAUCAGCCUUUCCUACAUAUUAAUAGUGUUGUGGGGAUGUUGUUGGGAAUUCAUGAUGGAUCAAAGUUUUGAUUAACAGUUUGUGGUGAUUUUGGUGGUUUUGCAGAUAUAUGAAAUUUUGAAAAAAUAGUGUGCUGUCAUUUGAAAUUGGUGGGGAUUAGUGGGAUGAUUCAAAGAGUUGAAAACAUUUCUAGUUUGGCAAGAAUGGAUGUGAUGUUAGCGGCUGCUUUUGUUGUUUGUUGUUGGCUGAGUUUUUUUUUUUUAAUUUCGUUGUUGGCUGAGUUCGGUGGCGGUCUAGUUGCAGUCAUACAGAGUCCAUUUGGGAAGAAAGAUAACAAAGUUGGCAAAAGAGGAAAGAUAACAAAGUUGGCAAAAGAGGGCAAAGAAUUAGCUAGACAUACUAAAAAAAAAAUUCACUGGAUUCCUAUUUCACCACAACAAACCAAACAUACGAAAAGAAGUUGCUAAAACCCAUUACGAUUGAGGACCCUUGAUACUCAUUGCUAUUGCCAUUCCAGAAUACCAACCAAACAGGUAGUUAGUGUACUCUAGCUCCAAAACAUUUCAAAAAAUAGAUUUCAAGUUUCAUGUAUGGAAACCAAUAAAGGCAGCUAUGAAUAUCUUAAGGAAUAAGGCAAUCCAGUUUAACUCUCCUCUACAGCGAAUAAGAUCAAAGCUCAUCAUCGAAGUCCAUGAAAUAGGAAAAUUCCCAGGCACCUUAGCAAUAAGGCGAAAUGUAUCAAAAACUUUAACAACAAUUAGUGCUUCUGGUUUGCGCAUUAAAGACUGAGACGAACGGCUUGCUUUUGCAACAAGGCCUAGAUCACCAAGCUCCUGAGGCAAGUCGGAUAGUGAAGUAAUCAUUCAAAAUCAAAAAGAAGAAAGAAAUUGCGGGCAAAAACUUGCAGGAUUUUGAUAUGUCAGGAGAUUCCUGCACACAAAUUAUUAAGCAAAUAUAACUAGACUACACCAUUCGCAAGCUUUGAAUGAAAUUCUGCUCCUCUAACUACAAAAUUUCUUAAAACAAGUGCAGUGUACUCAUUGCAGAAAGAUCAGCCAGAGCCUUCCAUUAAAUCAAGCAACUAGAGUCACAGAAGUCAAGUAAAUCAUAAAGAGAAUAAAUGAUAAAUUUUUUUUUGCAAAUUGUAUCUUAGAUCAAUUAAAAAAAAAUUUUCCAGACAAGCUACUGCGUACAAAAUGUAACAACAACCAACGUACAGCUGCAGCCAAAGAAAGUAACAAGGUAAAACUAAAGCAGCUUCUCAAAUAAUGCAGUUACUUCGUAGAACCAAAAUCGAGCCCAAAACUAAAAUCACAGGCAAAGGGUCGAAUGUUUUUGACAUCAACAUAGCACCAAAGCUAAAUUCAAAAUAUUCAAUUAAAUGUGGCAUUUGACUGGACAAGCUUUUUUUCUAAUCCCAUUCUUGAUAAUUUGUAUAAGAACAAUAGUGCUUGUACAGAGUUAGUAGAUACCUUGCAAACCGAAUCAGACAACACAAUAAUCACCAUAGCAGCAUUCUACAGCAUUGAAGCCACAGCUAGGCAGAGACCUAAAUACAGCAUGGGACUUAUGUUUCUUUCUCCUCCCCUAUUCUCCAUCUCAUUUGUUAAUGUUUUGCAAUUAAUGAAACAAGGCCAAAAAUCUCUAGAAUUUCAUUUACUAGAACUGAGAACAAGUUACCCGCGAUCAUUCUGUCAUUUCACUUGAAGUACAAUUUCUUUAAUUUCUUGGCAUCGAGUUAAGAAAAGCCAACUCCACAAACAAUAAUAUUCAGAGAUAAGAAAAGAAAUUCAAUCAGUUCUAAACCACACCCAAGAUUUGAUAAACACGAGUGACUGGAAUGUAGUAGAGUUUCACCUUGUACUGCUUCUUAAUUUGUGCUUCUUUUGUUCCGCACGCCUCGUACAGAGCCUUAAUAAUCGAAGCAUCCCCAAUCCCAAGCUCCAAUCCUUCAUGAGCUGGAGCAAUCCGGUUCGCCAAAAGGUAAACAACAGCCACCAAAUCCUCUGGCGUCGUUUCCAUCACAGUCCUCAACAUGUUACAAACAAUUGCAGUUAUCGCAAUCCGCCCUGAUUCUUUAGAAAUAGCAUCCAACGCCUUCGCUACAAACAUAAACGGCACCCUUUGUGCCUUUCCCCAAUAUGCCGCCUUCUUGGGAUCAAAACUUGCCGCCUUAUCCUUCAACUCAAGAAGGCUCGCAUCAGGAGUAAUUGCCACCUUAGGUUUCUUAACCACCGCUUCCUCACUUUUCCCCAGCUGGGUUUCUUAAACACCGCUUCCUCACUUUUCCCCAGUAAUUGCCACCUUCGUCAUUUUUCAUAUUUUUUUCCAGCUGGGUUUCUUUAAUUUGAGCUGAAUCAGGUUCUUUGACUGAAAUCGGAGUAGAAUUUUGAGAAGUGAUGAUGGGGGUGGGGGUUUUGCGUUUCUUGGGAGAUGGUUUUUGUUGUUUCUGCACGGACUUUUUCUUGCUGGCAUUGGACAUGAGGAGGUCGAAGGCAGAAGGGUGAGAAGCCAUUGCUGCUAGUGAUCCUGGAUUAACUAAUGGAAUCGAGAGAAAGAGGGAUCUCUGAGAGAAGUGUUUUGCGGGGAAGGAAGAAUAGAUGAGAAAGUAGGGCUUAAAACCGAGUGGUUUUCUGAGGGGAUGAAGCGAAAGAGUGUGGUGGGUAAAGUGGAGUGAAGAAGAGCAUGACCUGAAUGCGGUGAGCAUCAGCUGCCGUUUUUCUGCUACGGAGAGGGAGACAACUGACACGGGUUGCUGUUGCGGAUGCGGAUGGCUAGGAGGAAAGAGGAAGGCAAAUGGCGGGAAAGGAAAUUGAGGGUUUUGUGAACUUAGGAUUGAAAAUUGCCAGAAAAGCCUUUGGAAAAAAAUUGCUGGGGAAGCCUUUUUUGGUGUUUGGGUGAUGAGUUGUUAGCAAAAUCUUGAGAGAGGGACUAAAAUUUUCAUUUCGUAAGCUAGCAAUAGGUGACUUGAAAUUUGUGAUUUGAAGGUUUGAGGUGUACCCCCCAAAAAAAUAAUAACAAAGUCGUAAGCUAGCAAUAUGCAGACUAGUGAGUUAGUGGUAUAUUAGUGGUUUAUUAUACGUUUUCUUUCACUAUGUUCACACUCUGAAGUCUGAAUUAUUCCAACCCAAUUGAUGAAAAAUGUUUUAAAAAUAUUUAGGACAAAUGCAAUAUCCACAUAGUUUAUUUUUGUGAUAUGUCGCAUCGUGGAGUGGAAACGGCAUGCAUAUAUGCUUGGGCUCGUGAGUUAUCAAGUAAUUUAGAUUAAUCAUAUUUUGUACCAUAAUUUGGCUCAAAAGUUAAUUAGGCCAACCCGUGGAUCAAAAGCGUUACAAUUUUGACUUAUUUUAUUGAUUCAAGUUUGUUCAAAAACUUUUUUUGGUAAAAAAUUUAUGCGACAUGGAAACAUAAUUUGGUGAAUUCACAAAACCAUGUAUAUUGCACAUGCCAAAAUCAGCUCGAAAGUGGAUUGUCCAACCCAAUUGUAAUGAUACAAGUUUUAAAAGAUUAGCAAAGAUGCAUAUGAAGGUAAAAAAAGGUGAUUAGCAAAUGUGUUUACGAAAAAAAAAAUUUUAAAAGAAAACAGUUUUCCAAAAUUUUAACUCUUGCACCCAUUCCUACACUUUUCUACUCCCAACUGUCAAGUUCAGAAUUCGAACUUUGAACUCGACGACGUUGGUCAUUGGACCAAUCCCAAUGCUUAAUUUUACCAAACUUGCAAAACAAGAAAUAAGAAAUAAAGACCGACCAAAACGUCUAUAAGUAUACUGAUCACAACAAAUAAUAUAAAAUCUGUUUUGACUCGCCAAACUUAGGUUAUUUGCAUGAGUUUCUUCAUUGUUUUUUAAUUUUAAUAAUAAUUGAUAUCCCUCUUCUGAAGGUCUCUCCACAGUCUCCACACACGGGGUUGAUGGAACAGUUUUUGAAUGAGAGCCAUUCAAGUCAUGUUGUUGAUUGGAGUUCCAGAAAAAAAAAACUCCAAAUUCCGUCUGCAACUGGCUGGGGCGGUACGCUGGUACGGAACAAAAAAUCUAUAAUAAGAUAAACAAUGGAAUGUAGUUGUAAUGAUGAACCCCUACCUAAACCUAAAUAAACGGAAUAAUUAAUACACCACCAAAUCAAUAAUUGUAUCAUAUUCUACAUGUUCUUUCCUUCUCGAACUAGCUUGCAACUGGUUUUGAUACGUCAGGUUUCUUUACAGGGACUAGACUACAACUACUUGUAUGGACGAAGAAACUCCAAGUUCCUAAGUCCACGAAUUUCGGAUCCCACCAGUGAUUUUUGUGUUGUUGGUCAUGAUUAGUUUCUUCUUAUCUUCUCUCCAGUGCAGGACGGUUGGUCAACUGAACAUGCAAGUUGAUAAUUGCUCAAUUCUUCAAUGAUAAUAAUGUUGAUGAAAAACUCACAAAUUAUGCAGAACGAUCUGCAGCAGAAGGGCCUGCAUUGAUUGCUUAUAAUGAGAAUCCACUUCACUUGGGCAGAAAGCUAGGGGGUGAGCAUGAGAAAUGGCAGCUACCUAUUUGGAUUGCAUUUUUCGUCAUUUUUCAUCGAAAAAUUACUGUAGCGAUUUGAUGUACGUAAGGAAAAAAGAUAAUAGAAAAAUGUGUUCACGAAAAACGACGCAAUUUUCUGAUAAAAAAUGGCAAUCCAAACACACUGGCUUCAACUACUUGGUCCACUAAUAUUGCUGCUGCAUAUGGAGGUUGAGAAACAGGGAUGGUGUUGGUUUGUGGGUCCCCCUUAGACUGACUUUAGGGUCCGUUCUUUCGUUGACUCAUGAGUGUUUCUAAUCUAACUGUGUGUGUUCUUCUUCUGUCUAUAGAAAAAAGAAAGUGUAGUAAACUUUUUUCAUUCUUAUUUCUCCCUCCGUCCCACUUUGAUAGUCUUAUUUUUUUUCACACAAUUUAAGGAAAAAUAGUUAAUUUUGUUGAAAAAAUAAAUUUAGAUUGCCAUUUUUCUAACAUAUCCUUACAUUAAAUAUGGUACAACUUUAUGGGAACUUAGAAUUGAUGGUAAAAAAAGAAUAAACUCUCAUUAAAUGGAGUAGAUUUAUAGUAACAACUACUUACAUUGAAUAAGGGUAUAUUAGAAAAAUUAAAAUACAACUACAUUCUUCAAUUGAAAAGUGGACUACAAUUUGGGAUAGAUGAAAAAGGAAUACAGGACUAUCAAAGUGGGACGGAGGGAAUAUGAUACUUUUAUUAUAGUUCAUAAGCCCAAAAAAAAAAGAAAGAAAGUGUAGUAACAUUUGAUUCGUAGUCAUUAUAUAUAUUAUUAAAAUGCAUGCAUAUACAUUUAUAAUAUUUUUUUAAUUUAAUUUCACGCUUUCAAAAAAAGUACUACUGUAUGAAAUCUAUUUUGGCAGUGUCCACUAGAUAGCAUUAGACAAUUAAGACAUAAUAGGGAUUGCAAUAAUGUUUUUCAAAAAAAAAAUUCCAAUCAGUAACCGACACACUACUCAUUUUCCAAAAUCAGCUCUUGUAAUUCCACUUUCACCUGCAGUUCACGGGCUUCCCAUAGAAAAUCCAUCCUAAUUUAAACUGUGCAGUUUUUGCGGGGAGACCAUCCAUCUCCAUCUGGUAGGUCAAGACUUGUAUAGGAUUUAGGCUACUGAUUGAUGAGUCAACAAAAAAAAAAUAAAAAAACAAAAAGAAAGAAUCUUUACCCCUGAAGUUUAAACAAACAAAACAUUAAAUUAUUGUAGACAUGACCUCGUGGAAAUCUGCUCUUAUUAAAAUGUUUUGAAAUUAACCAAGCAGACAAAAGAAGAUUUGGCAUUCCAAGAAAUACAAAAUUAGUGUCAGUUAAUAAGGGUUAAUUUGGUUUCUUUCUCAUGUUUGGUGUCCCUCUUCAUGUUGCUUCGAUUUGGUCGCAUAAAUUACAAAGGAGAGUGACAAAACAAUUGACCAAAAGAGAACAGAACAGAAUGGAACAUUUGCAAUGUUGUCAUGGAGUUCGAUCUGACAAGAUGUGGAGUAGAUCACUCUAUAUUUUAUCGGCAUUCUAAUGCUAGUAAAAUUUUAUUAGUUGUUUAUGUGAAAAAUAUUGUGAUUACAAGUGAUGAUGUUGUGAGGAUCCAGAAACUUAAAUCCAAUCUGCAGGCAAACUUUCAGACAAAAGAUUUAGGUCAUCUACAGUAUUUUUUGUGUAUUGAGGUAGCUCGGUCUAAAUAUGGGAUUUAUUUAUGUCAAAGGAAAUAUGUACUCAAUAUGUUGAGUGAAGUUGGGAUGUUAGGUUGCCGACCUGUGGAUACUCCUAUGGAUCCCAAUGUGAAAUUAGUAGGAGAUCAAGGUGCAUUACUUGAUGAUCCUAAGCAAUAUCGAAGACUUGUGGGUAAAUUAAAUUAUCUCACUGUAACGAGAUCUGACAUUUCAUUUGCAGUGUGUGUUGUGACUCAAUUUCUUGAUGCCCCUCGUACUAGUAAUUGGGAUGCUGUUAUACGAAUUUCCAAGUAUCUUAAGAGUGCUUCUGAGAAAGGGUUGCUGUAUCAAAAUCAUGGACAUACUGAUAUUGAAGGAUAUAGUGAUGCAGAUUGGACUGGUUCUGCCUCAGAUCGAAAAUCGACCAAAGGAUAUUGUGUGUUUGUUGGUGGUAAUUUAGUGUCGUGCAAGAGUAAGAAGCAAACAAUUGUCUCCAGAUCAAGUGUAGAAUCUGAAUGACUCACUGUAUGUGAGUUGGUUUGGUUGAAGAGCAUGUUACUUGAAAUUGAGUUUGAGCAUAAACAGUGAUGCGAACUCGACCCAAUAAGAACCUGUCAUGAAGAACCGAAUCGAUCAGGCAGCGGAAGGAUCUAUCUUGAUCAGGUUAUGGAACAAUAACUACCUUGCUAGAUCUAAAGAGAACCUGUCUCUAGAAACCUAGUGGAUUGGUUAUUGGCUUGAAAGAAUAAGAUGAAGUGAUCAUCUUGCCUUGAACACCACAAGUAUCCAAGCUAAAUACUUGAUACUGUUCAAGAAGAAACUCAAGUUCCAUCAAGGAACUCCAUAAAAGGAGACAACUCUCUUUUUAUUAAUUCAUCUUCAAUCUGCUCUCCCAAUAGUUAAAUAAAGUUGGCUAUUUAUAGCCUUACAAGACUCAAAACCAUAAUCUAUAUUGGAAACAAUACAAGUUUUUUUAUUUGACUCGACUUCUAAACUUGACACAAUUUCCUAAACAAAUUUGGAAGCAAUUAACUGUUUUCCUAAAACUCUAAUUCAACUAGAAUAGGAAACUAGCUAAUUCAAAUUGGCUUAACUAUGGUCAACAUGACCUUAGCCUUUAUUCCCUAAUUCAAGCAACUUACUUAACUCUCAAUUUGGAAAUCAAUCAAGAUACCAAUCAAGAUUAGGAAGCCAAUUAAAAUUUGGAACAUUUGGAUCUUCAAUGAUUCUCGAGCCUGAUUGCACCAUCAACCAUCAUUAGAAUGUGAAGACUUGUAAAAUGAAAGGAAUCCAUGCAAAUCUUCAUGUUCUCAAAAAACAGCUUAUAAAUCUAGUGUGUGAUAAUCAGGCAGCUGUCCAUAUUGCGUCUAAUCCAGUGUUUCAUGAAAGGACAAAACAUAUUUAAGUUAAUUGUUACUUCAUUCGAGAAAAAUUGCUUGACGGAGUCAUCAAGACAUCUCAUGUACCGUCUGUAGAUCAAUUGGCUGAUUUGUUUACCAAGAAUUUAGGGGGCUCUAGGGUGAAAUACAUUUAUGAUAUAUAUGCUCCAACUUGAGGGGGAGUGCUAGGAGAAUAUCAAUAUUUUUGUAGAUAAUAUUAGUAAGGGUAUUCUUGUAAAUAGUUGGUUAGAUUUGUACUCCUAUAAAUACUAGUUGGUCACUCAUAAUACAGUGACUAGAUGUUUUCCUCCCAAGAUACCUGCUGACAGACUUAAAAAAAUCCAAGAGUCUUUUGCACAAUGCUAAAAGCAGAUAAAGAUAUAAACAUCAUUGAACAAAAAUUAGCAUACCUGUCCUCGACUGUCAAGCUGUGCUUGUAGAAGAGGUUGGCCAUUGAUAUACAAGAUAUCAAAAGCAUAUAUGCAAACACCAACCUUUAUUUCACUCAAGACCACAUUUUUACGAGCCCGUGUGCUGAGGACCUGCCACCAAUUCAUACUUUUAAGUCUGAAUUUGUAAUACCAUUCUUACAACUCUAGCAUUUCAUCAAGUAACAAUUCAUGUGUGACACUCUUUCCAGCAAAAUGAAAAGCUGAACACCAGAAGAAGCUGGCUCCUUAAUGACAAGAAAUAUACUUUGAAGCAUAAAGUGUAGAGACAACAUAUGUUUAGGAAACCUAAGUGUGUCCCCUUUAUCCUCCUGGUGGGUGGUAGGGACAUGGUCAGUGGAAAAGAAUAGCCUGAUAUAUAUAAAUCAGUAAAAUUUGUGGACGUGUUACAAGAUUAAGGCAAGGCCCCUGAUGGAGACUAAUGAUGGUCUAUUUGCCAAAGCAUGACUUGAAUUACCUAAAAGAAACUAAAAAAAGUGCUUAUACAAAAGCAUCAAAUCAAAUACAAUAUAUUCCAAAUUCAAUUUUCAAGUUGUUUGGCCUAACAUCCAUGUAGCAUCAUCACCCCCUCAAAGUGUAAAUUCCUCAUUUGAUCAACAAAAAGUAGCCCAAUUAGUAAUGAAUCUACCCUUAGUCAUAUUCAUCAAAAUUUCACAACCUUCAAAUAUUUUAGAGCAGACACUGGACAGAUCAAAUUGGCCGAAACUUUAAUACCUCAACACUCAAAAAUCUCCAGUUCCUAUCAUAGAAAAUCAAGAAUUAUAUGACAUCAACUGACUCAAAUGAAGCACCUGAAAUAGAUGCAAGAAAGAAGUUGCACGUGUAGUUUCAAGAUAUCCCAUAGGGGGACUGAAGGUGUCGGGAAGCAUUUCAUGUGACAGACCCCAGGCAUGCCCUAUUUAAGUUCAUGAUGAGAUAGCCCAUAAUAGAUAGCCCUAGGAUUUUGAGCAUGCUCAAUACCAAGAUGAUUCUUACAGCACCCAAAGUUGAUGAGUUCACAAACGAAAAACAAAGAUGACUCGACCACUUUCUUCCCAAUACAGGAUUGAAGGAGAUUUGUUACUUUGCCAAUUUAAUACUUCAGCAUUGAUUGUACAUAAAUUAUUAACAUUGUAUAUGUUGUUGUCAUAUGCCACAAUAAAGAUCAUGAAGGCUACACAAUAAGCAAUGCUAGAGCCAGAAUUGGAGACUUAAAUCAGUUAGCAAUCGAUUUUUCUAUUUAACUUCAAUUGUUCUGAUGUGCUAGCAUAGUUAAAAGGACCACUUCAGCAGGCCCAUGACAAAAUCAGAUUUACAAAGAUCUUGCACUUAGGCAAGCUCAAUAUUACAGAAGUAAACAGUUCACCUGGAAGGGGAGAAUUUUUUUCUUCUCACGAUCAAAUGCAACAAUUUCACAAUCAAGAACAAAUGAGGUUACAGACAGCCUUUUAAACCUGCAAUAAAACAGCUAAAUGUCAGGAAAAUUGAGAGAGAUUUUCUGGCAGACUUGUAAUGUUAGUAGGAAACAACUAGUCAUUCUUAAAAAUAAGCUCUACUGAUAUACUCUCAUACCCAACUAUGUAAAUUAUGUUUCUGCUCAUUAAGAAAGCAAUAGACUACAAAAACCCAUCAUGAGAAGGCCCACCACAGCAGUGAAAGUAUAGUGCUAAGCUCAGACAGCCUUACUCAACCAAGUAAAGAGACUCUUCCUGUUCAUCAAACCAUUAACCAGCUUGUGACGGCAUGUUCCAAAUCAAAGUUGGAAUGGGCUACAAUAAAAGUACCUUGAAAUUGCAUCCACAACAUCAGGAUACUUUCCAGUGUUUCUUUCUGCAUUUCGACUAUAUAUCUCCACUGUACCAUCCUCCAUGUAGUGAAUCUGCAGGACAUGGUUAGACAAACACACAUCACCAAGACUGUGAAAGGAAAGGCAUAUAACAUAGGCGUCAUGUCUAGUUUCUUGCUACCUGAGCACGUUCUCCAUCAUACUUGUAUUCACAGGUGAAUUUAAUAUCCUGAAACUUAUCCAAUAUUUCAGAAACUCCCUUAGUUGGUUUUGCUAGCAUAGGUCCAACAGGAACACCAGGUGAAAAGCUACAUGUCUUGGGAAGAUCCCAUACACCAUCAGCAAGAAGAGCAGGGAUUAUUUUAUCAUAGACUGGAAUUACCGAGUAAACUUGUUUCACGAUUUUAGCAGCCUGAGGGAUGGAAAGCAAUUUCACAACAUGUUUAUGCAAUAAACAAAAAACUCUCUUAAAUUUGCACAUAGUAUUAGCACAAUAAUAAAAUCUAAUUAAAAAAUUUAUUCAAACUCUCUCAGAAGUUUAAAUUCAUGCCAAGAUACCUCUUCUAAAGAAGAAUCUAUAUUUGCAGGAGUUGAAGAUUGCUUAUCAACAUAAACUGCAGCAUGGCCCAAAGCAGCUAACAGAGUUUGCUCAGCUAAACCAAUGCGCAGUUUAGCCAGCAUGUAGAGUUCAAGAAUAAUUUUCCGAUUAAAGGUGCCAAUUUGUGAUAUUAGAUCUUCAAUUGUCUCACCUGGAGCAGACGAAUCAAGUACUGAGGUUCACAAUCAGUAGCAGCAACCAGUAGUGCCUUGAUAUGAUUCUUUUUCUUCUCUUGACUAUCCUUACCAGAUUCCUAAUGCAAAUCACGUAGAGAUACAGUUACAAAACUAAAAGAAGUAAACCGUUAUGCUCUUCUCUAGAUCAAUAAAUUAUAAGUUAAUAUACAAGCACCAAUUCAUGUGCAUAUCUCGGCUGAUUACCCAUCAUCCCAAAAAAAAAGCCUCUCUCUCUCCCCCCUGAUGUUCAACUUUUCUCACCCGUCUCUCUCUCUUCCGUUUCCUCUGUAAUCUUUAUCUUAUUCUCGCUCUCUCUCUCUCUCUCUACCUAUGCUUCUCUUGCCACCCUCGCAACUUUCACUUUUACCUCCUAACCCAUCCUCUCCUCUACCGGUCAGCCCUCCCUUCAACAUGCAAUGACCAUGGAAGCCAAGCUAGAGAUAGAUAAUUGAGGUUUUUUUUUUAUUGGUCUCAUAGUAGAUCAGCCUUUCCUACAUGUUAACAGUGUUGUGGGGGUGUUGUUGGGAAUUCAUGAUGGAUCAAAGUUUUGAUUAACAGUUUGUGGUGAUUUUGGCGGUUUUGCAGAUAUAUGAAAUUUUGAAAAAAUAGUGUGUUGUCAUUUGAAAUUGGUGGGGAUUAGUGGGAUGAUUCAAAGAGUUGAAAACAUUUCUAGUUUGGCAAGAAUGGAUGUGAUGUUAGCAGCUGCUUUUGUUGUUUGUUGUUGGCUGAGUUUUUUUUUUUUCAAUUUCGUUGUUGGCUGAGUUCGGUGGCGGUCUAGUUGCAGUCAUACAGAGUCCAUUUGGGAAGAAAGAUAACAAAGUUGGCAAAAGGGGGCAAAGAAUUAGCUAGACAUACUAAAAAAAAAUUCAGUGGAUUCCUAUUUCACCACAACAAACCAAACAUACGAAAAGAAGUUGCUAAAACCCAUUACGAUUGAGGACCUUUGAUACUCAUUGCUACUGCCAUUCCAGAAUACCAACCAAACAGGUAGUUAGUGUACUCUAGCUCUAAAACAUUUCAAAAAAUAGAUUUCAAGUUUCAUGUAUCGAAACCAAUAAAGGCAGCUAUGAAUAUCUUAAGGAAUAAGGCAAUCCAGUUUAACUCUCAUCUACAGCGAAUAAGAUCAAAGCUCAUCAUCGAAGUCCAUGAAAUGGGAAAAUUCCAAGGUACCUUAGCAAUAAGGCGAAAUGUAUCAAAAACUUUAACAACAGUUAGUGCUUCUGGUUUGCGCAUUAAAGACUGAGACGAACGGCUUGCUUUUGCAACAAGGCCUAGAUCACCAAGCUCCUGAGGCAAGUCGGAUAGUGAAGUAAUCAUUCAAAAUCAAAAAGAAGAAAGAAAUUGCGGGCAAAAACUUGCAGGAUUUUGAUAUGUCAGGAGAUUCCUGCACACAAAUUAUUAAGCAAAUAUAACUAGACUACACCAUUCGCAAGCUUUGAAUGAAAUUCUGCUCCUCUAACUACAAAAUUUCUUAAAACAAGUGCAGUGUACUCAUUGCAGAAAGAUCAGCCAGAGCCUUCCAUUAAAUCAAGCAACUAGAGUCACAGAAGUCAAGUAAAUCAUAAAGAGAAUAAAUGAUAAAUUUUUUUUUGCAAAUUGUAUCUUAGAUCAAUUAAAAAAAAAAAUUUCCAGACAAGCUACAACGUACAAAAUGUAACAACAACCAACGUACAGCUGCAGCCAAAGAAAGUAACAAGGUAAAACUAAAGCAGCUUCUCAAAUAAUGCAGUUACUUCGUAGAACCAAAAUCGAGCCCAAAACUAAAAUCACAGGCAAAGGGUCGAAUGUUUUUGACAUCAACAUAGCACCAAAGCUAAAUUCAAAAUAUUCAAUUAAAUGUGGCAUUUGACUGGACAAGCUUUUUUUCUAAUCCCAUUCUUGAUAAUUUGUAUAAGAACAAUAGUGCUUGUACUGAGUUAGUAGAUACCUUGCAAACCGAAUCAGACAACACAAUAAUCACCAUAGCAGCAUUCUACAGCAUUGAAGCCACAGCUAGGCAGAGACCUAAAUACAGCGUGGGACUUAUGUUUCUUUCUCCUCCCCUAUUCUCCAUCUCAUUUAUUAAUGUUUUGCAAUUAAUGAAACAAGGCCAAAAAUCUCUAGAAUUUCAUUUACUAGAACUGAGAACAAGUUACCAGCGAUCAUUCUGUCAUUUCACUUGAAGUACAAUUUCUUUAAUUUCUUGGCAUCGAGUUAAGAAAAGCCAACUCCACAAACAAUAAUAUUCAGAGAUAAGAAAAGAAAUUCAAUCAGUUCUAAACCACACCCAAGAUUUGAUAAACACGAGUGACUGGAAUGUAGUAGAGUUUCACCUUGUACUGCUUCUUAAUUUGUGCUUCUUUUGUUCCGCACGCCUCGGACAGAGCCUUAAUAAUCGAAGCAUCCCCAAUCCCAAGCUCCAAUCCUUCAUGAGCUGGAGCAAUCCGGUUCGCCAAAAGGUAAACAACAGCCACCAAAUCCUCUGGCGUCGUUUCCAUCACAGUCCUCAACAUGUUACAAACAAUUGCAGUUAUCGCAAUCCGCCCUGAUUCUUUAGAAAUAGCAUCCAACGCCUUUGCUACAAACAUAAACGGCACCCUUUGUCCCUUUCCCCAAUAUGCCGCCUUCUUGGGAUCAAAACUUGCCGCCUUAUCCUUCAACUCAAGAAGGCUCUCAUCAGGAGUAAUUGCCACCUUAGGUUUCUUAACCACCGCUUCCUCACUUUUCCCCAGCUGGGCAUCCUUAACCUUGCUCGAAUCGUCAUUUUUCAUAUCUUUUUCCAGCUGGGCUUCUUUAAUUUGAGCUGAAUCAGGUUCUUUGACUGAAAUCGGAGCAGAAUUUUGAGAAGUGAUGAUGGGGGUGGGGGUUUUGCGUUUCUUGGGAGAUGGUUUUUGUUGUUUCUGCUCGGACUUUUUCUUGCUGGCAUUGGACAUGAGGAGGUCGAAGGCAGAAGGGCGAGAAGCCAUUGCUGCUAGUGAUCCUGGAUUAACUAAUGGAAUCGAGAGAAAGAGGGAUCUCUGAGAGAAGGGUUUUGCGGGGAAGGAAGAAUAGAUGAGAAAGUAGGGCUUAAAGCCGAGUGGUUUUCUGAGGGGAUGAAGCGAAAGAGUGUGGUGCGUAAAGUGGAGUGAAGAAGAGCAUGACCUGAAUGCGGUGAGCAACAGCUGCCGUUUUUCUGCUACGGAGAGGGAGACAACUGACACGGGUUGCUGUUGCGGAUGCGGAUGGCUAGGAGGGAAGAGGAAGGCAAAUGGCAGGAAAGGAAAUUGAGGGUUUUGUGCACUUAGGAUUGAAAAUUGCCAGAAAAGCCUUUGGAAAAAAAUUGCUGGGGAAGCCUUUUUUGGUGUUUGGGUGAUGAGUUGUUAGCAAAAUCUUGAGAGAGGGACUAAAAUUUUCAUUUCGUAAGCUAGCAAUAGGUGACUUGAAAUUUGUGAUUUGAAGGUUUGAGGUGUACCCCCCAAAAAAAUAAUAACAAAGUCGUAAGCUAGCAAUAGGCAGACUAGUGAGUUAGUGGUUUAUUAGUGGUUUAUUAUACGUUUUCUUUCACUAUGUUCACACUCUGAAGUCUGAAUUAUUCCAACCCAAUUGAUGAAAAAUGUUUUAAAAAUGUUUAGGACAAGUGCAAUAUCCACAUAGUUUAUUUUUGUGAUAUGUCGCAUCGUGGAGUGGAAACGGCAUGCAUAUAUGCUUGGGCUCGUGAGUUAUCAAGUAAUUUAGAUUAAUCAUAUUUUGUACCAUAAUUUGGCUCAAAAGUUAAUUAGGCCAACCCGUGGAUCAAAAGCGUUACAAUUUUGACUUAUUUUAUUGAUUCAAGUUUGUUCAAAAACUUUUUUUGGUAAAAAAUUUAUGCGACAUGGAAACAUAAUUUGGUGAAUUCACAAAACCAUGUAUAUUGCACAUGCCAAAAUCAGCUCGAAAGUGGAUUGUCCAACCCAAUUGUAAUGAUACAAGUUUUAAAAGAUUAGCAAAGAUGCAUACGAAGGUAUAAAAAGGUGAUUAGCAAAUGUGUUUACGAAAAUUUUUUUUUUUAAAAGAAAACAGUUUUCCAAAAUUUUAACUCUCGCACCCAUUCCUACACUUUUCUACUCCCAACUGUCAAGUUCAGAAUUCGAACUUUGAACUCGACGACGUUGGUCAUUGGACCAAUACCAAUGCUUAAUUUUACCAAACUUGCAAAACAAGAAAUAAGAAAUAAAGACCGACCAAAACGUCUAUAAGUAUACUGAUCAUCACAAAUAAUAUAAAUCUGUUUUGACUUGCCAAACUUAGGUUAUUUGCAUGAGUUUCUUCAUUGUUUUUUAAUUUUAAUAAUAAUUGAUAUCCCUCUUCUGAAGGUCUCUCCAUAGUCUCCACACACGGGGUUGAUGGAACAGUUUUUGAAUGAGAGCCAUUCAAGUCAUGUUGUUGAUUGGAGUUCCAGAAAAAAAAAAACUCCAAAUUCCGUCUGCAACUGGCUGUGGCGGUACGCUGGUAUAGAACAAAAAAUCUAUAAUAAGAUAAACAAUGGAAUGUAGUUGUAAUGAUGAACCCCUACCUAAACCUAAAUAAACGGAAUAAUUAAUACACCACCAAAUCAAUAAUUGUAUCAUAUUCUACAUGUUCUUUCCUUCUCGAACUAGCUUGAAACUGGUUUUGAUACGUCAGGUUUCUUUACAGGGACUAGACUACAACUACUUGUAUGGAGGAAGAAACUCCAAGUUCCUGAGUCCACGAAUUUCGGAUCCCACCAGUGAUUUUUGUGUUGUUGGUCAUGAUUAGUUUCUUCUUAUCUUCUCUCCAGUGCAGGACGGUUGGUCAACUGAACAUGCAAGUUGAUAAUUGCUCAAUUCUUCAAUGAUAAUAAUGUUGAUGAAAAACUCACAAAUUAUGCAGAACGAUCUGGAGCAGAAGGGCCUGCAUUGAUUGCUUAUCAUGAGAAUCCACUUCACUUGGGCAGAGAGCUAGGGGGUGAGCAUGAGAAAUGGCAGCUACCCGUUUGGAUUGCAUUUUCCGUCAUUUUUCAUGGAAAAAUUACUGUAGCGAUUUGAUGUACGUAAGAAAAAAAGAUAAUAGAAAAAUGUGUUCACGAAAAACGACGCAAUUUUCUGUUAAAAAAUGGCAAUCCAAACACACUGGCUUCAACUACUUGGUCCACUAAUAUUGCUGCUGCAUAUGGAGGUUGAGAAACAGGGAUGGUGUUGGUUUGUGGGUCCCCCAUAGACUGACUUUAGGGUCCGUUCUUUCGUUGACUCAUGAGUGUUUCUAAUCUAACUGUGUGUGUUCUUCUUCUGUCUAUAGAAAAAAGAAAGUGUAGUAAACUUUUUUCAUUCUUAUUACUCCCUCUGUCCCACUUGGAUAGUCCUGUUUUUUUCACACAAUUUAAGGAAAAAUAGUUAAUUUUGUUGAAAAAGUAAAUUUAGAUUGCCAUUUUUCUAAAAUAUCCUUACAUUAAAUAUGGUACAACUUUAUGGGAACUUAGAAUUGAUGGUAAAAAAAGAAUAAACUCUCAUUAAAUGGAGUAGAUUUAUAGUAACAACUACUUACAUUGAAUAACGGUAUAUUAGAAAAAUUAAAAUACAACUACAUUCUUCAAUUGAAAAGUGGACUACAAUUUGAGAUACAUGAAAAAGGAAUACAGGACUAUCAAAGUGGGACGGAGGGAGUAUGAUACUUUUAUUAUAGUUCAUAAGCCCAAAAAAAAAAAGAAAGAAAGUGUAGUAACAUUUGAUUCGUAGUCAUUAUAUAUAUUAUUAAAAUGCAUGCAUAUACAUUUAUAAUAUUUUUUUAAUUUAAUUUCACCCUUUCAAAAAAAGUACUACUGUAUGAAAUCUAUUUUGGCAGUGUCCACUAGAUAGCAUUAGACAAUUAAGACAUAAUAGGGAUUGCAAUAAUGUUUUAAAAAAAAAAAAUUUCCAAUCAGUAACCGACACACUACUCAUUUUCCAAAAUCAGCUCUUGUAAUUCCACUUUCACCUGCAGUUCACGGGCUUCCCAUAGAAAAUCCAUCCUAAUUUAAACUGUGCAGUUUUUGCGGGGAGACCAUCCAUCUCCAUCUGGUAGGUCAAGACUUGUAUAGGAUUUAGGCUACUGAUUGAUGAGUCAACAAAAAAAAAAUAAAAAAACAAAAAGAAAGAAUCUUUACCCCUGAAGUUUAAACAAACAAAACAUUAAAUUAUUGUAGACAUGACCUCGUGGAAAUCUGCUCUUAUUAAAAUGUUUUGAAAUUAACCAAGCAGACAAAAGAAGAUUUGGCAUUCCAAGAAAUACAAAAUUAGUGUCAGUUAAUAAGGGUUAAUUUGGUUUCUUUCUCAUGUUUGGUGUCCCUCUUCAUGUUGCUUCGAUUUGGUCGCAUAAAUUACAAAGGAGAGUGACUAAACAAUUGACCAAAAGAGAACAGAACAGAAUGGAACAUUUGCAAUGUUGUCAUGGAGUUCGAUCUGACAAGAUGUGGAGUAGAUCACUCUAUAUUUUAUCGGCAUUCUAAUGCUAGUAAAAUUUUAUUAGUUGUUUAUGUGAAAAAUAUUGUGAUUACAAGUGAUGAUGUUGUGAGGAUCCAGAAACUUAAAUCCAAUCUGCAGGCAAACUUUCAGACAAAAGAUUUAGGUCAUCUACAGUAUUUUUUGUGUAUUGAGGUAGCUCGGUCUAAAUAUGGGAUUUAUUUAUGUCAAAGGAAAUAUGUACUCAAUAUGUUGAGUGAAGUUGGGAUGUUAGGUUGCCGACCUGUGGAUACUCCUAUGGAUCCCAAUGUGAAAUUAGUAGGAGAUCAAGGUGCAUUACUUGAUGAUCCUAAGCAAUAUCGAAGACUUGUGGGUAAAUUAAAUUAUCUCACUGUAACGAGAUCUGACAUUUCAUUUGCAGUGUGUGUUGUGACUCAAUUUCUUGAUGCCCCUCGUACUAGUAAUUGGGAUGCUGUUAUACGAAUUUCCAAGUAUCUUAAGAGUGCUUCUGAGAAAGGGUUGUUGUAUCAAAAUCAUGGACAUACUGAUAUUGAAGGAUAUAGUGAUGCAGAUUGGACUGGUUCUGCCUCAGAUCGAAAAUCGACCAAAGGAUAUUGUGUGUUUGUUGGUGGUAAUUUAGUGUCGUGCAAGAGUAAGAAGCAAACAAUUGUCUCCAGAUCAAGUGUAGAAUCUGAAUGACUCACUGUAUGUGAGUUGGUUUGGUUGAAGAGCAUGUUACUUGAAAUUGAGUUUGAGCAUAAACAGUGAUGCGAACUCGACCCAAUAAGAACCUGUCAUGAAGAACCGAAUCGAUCAGGCAGCGGAAGGAUCUAUCUUGAUCAGGUUAUGGAACAAUAACUACCUUGCUAGACCUAAAGAGAACCUGUCUCUAGAAACCUAGUGGAUUGGUUAUUGGCUUGAAAGAACAAGAUGAUGUGAUCAUCUUGCCUUGAACACCACAAGUAUCCAAGCUAAAUAUUUGAUACUGUUCAAGAAGAAACUCAAGUUCCAUCAAGGAACUCCAUAAAAGGAGACAACUCUCUUUUUAUUAAUUCAUCUUCAAUCUGCUCUCCCAAUAGUUAAAUAAAGUUGGCUAUUUAUAGCCUUACAAGACUCAAAACCCUAAUCUAAAUUGGAAACAAUACAAGUUUUCUUAUUUGACUCGACUUCUAAACUUGACUAAAUCUCCUAAACAAAUUUGGAAGCAAUUAACUGCUUUCCUAAAACUCUAAUUCAACUAGAAUAGGAAACUAACUAAUUCAAAUUGGCUUAACUAUGGUCAACAUGACCCUAGCCUUUAUUCCCUAAUUCAAGCAACUUACUUAACUCUCAAUUUGGAAAUCAAUCAAGAUAUCAAUCAAGAUACCAAUCAAGAUUUGGAAGCCAAUUAAAAUUUGGAACAUUUGGAUCUUCAAUGAUUCUCGAGCCUGAUUGCACCAUCAACCAUCAUUAGAAUGUGAAGACUUGUAAAAUGAAAGGAAUCCAUGUAAAUUUUCAUGUUCUCAUCAUCCCCCUCCUCUUGAAAGACGAUUUGUCCUCAAAUCGAGUGCUUGUUUACAAAGGAGUAACUCGAAGAAUGUCUUGAUAUAUGUAAUCCAAGAAGCAUGACGCCAACUCAACUUGAUUAUGAACACAACCCAUUGCACAUGCUCCAUUUGUCAAAGAAUAUCUUCACCCAAUUGUACUUGGCUAGAAUUUGGAAGUUCAGUUUAGUUGAUUCUUGGAUUCACGUUUGGAAAGCAAAUUGCUAGUUUGAAAAGGUUUCCUAAGUGUAUGUUUGGAUUUUGGCAGCUGAUAAUAUGAACCAAGACUAACAAGAAUUAGAAAUCAAGAAUGUGGAAAUAAAAUUCCAAAUCCCUCUCAAUUUCCAAAUCUAACGCAAGGCUGCCUUUUUUUUUUCUUCUUUCUGUCCUUUUUGUUCUAACUUGCCAAUUCAACAAAACAAGGUAGCCGCACUUCAAGAUUCAAGAGAAUGACUUUUAGAGUUGUCAAAAUCUCAAGAUUUUUUUUUUCAAGAACCCACUAUACAAUCCAAGAACUUCAAGAAAUUAUCAAGCCAACUACAAGAAGUAAGAACAACAAGAAACAAACACAAGGUAUGGAGGAAAAGAAAAAAAAAGAAAAAAAAUUUCGGAUGAACAGUACCGCUACAGUUGCGGUGAUGAACAGUACUGCUAUAGUUGCAAACAGUGCCGAUGACCAGUAUUCUUUUUUUUUUUUUUGACGACUCGAUGCAAGGUUAGGAUUUCACUUGGAAGAAAUUUAAUGGGAGUUAAACCCUUGAAAAACCUGUUUUCAAGAACGUAAUCACACCAAAAAAUUUCAAUCUCGAUCAAUCAAGGGGGGUAAGUUAGACUCAAGUGAUAAAAUAAAAAUAAAUAAAAAACAAGAAUCAAAAUUUUUUUUCCUCUUUAAAUCAAAAGGCGGCUAAGGUUUCGAUAGAAAAAAAAUAGAAAAAUAAGAAAAGAAAAAAGGAUAUUAACCUGAAUCAAGAGCCGAAGCUCUGAUACCAGAUGAUGCGAACUCGACCCAAUAAGAACCUGUCUUGAAGAACCGAAUCGAUCAGGCAGCGGAAGGAUCUAUCUUGAUCAGGUUAUGGAACAAUAACUACCUUGCUAGAUCUAAAGAGAAUCUGUCUCUAGAAACCUAGUGGAUUGGUUAUUGGCUUGAAAGAACAAGAUGAUGUGAUCAUCUUGCCUUGAACACCACAAGUAUCCAAGCUAAAUACUUGAUACUGUUCAAGAAGAAACUCAAGUUCCAUCAAGGAACUCCAUAAAAGGAGACAACUCUCUUUUUAUUAAUUCAUCUUCAAUCUGCUCUCCCAAUAGUUAAAUAAAGUUGGCUAUUUAUAGCCUUACAAGACUCAAAACCCUAAUCUAAAUUGGAAACAAUACAAGUUUCCUUAUUUGACUCGACUUCUAAACUUGACACAAUUUUCUAAACAAAUUUGGAAGCAAUUAACUGCUUUCCUAAAACUCUAAUUCAACUAGAAUAGGAAACUAACUAAUUCAAAUUGGCUUAACUAUGGUCAACAUGACCUUAGCCUUUAUUCCCUAAUUCAAGCAACUUACUUAACUCUCAAUUUGGAAAUCAAUCAAGAUAUCAAUCAGGAUACCAAUCAAGAUUUGGAAGCCAAUUAAAAUUUGGAACAUUUGGAUCUUCAAUGAUUCUCGAGCCUGAUUGCACCAUCAACCAUCAUUAGAAUGUGGAGACUUGUAAAAUGAAAGGAAUCCAUGCAAAUCUUCAUGUUCUCAUCAAACAGCUUAUAAAUCUAGUGUGUGAUAAUCAGGCAGCUGUCCAUAUUGCGUCUAAUCCAGUGUUUCAUGAAAGGACAAAACAUAUUUAAGUUAAUUGUUACUUCAUUCGAGGGAAAUUGCUUGACGGAGUCAUCAAGACAUCUCAUGUACCGUCUGUAGAUCAAUUGGCUGAUUUGUUUACCAAGAAUUUAGGGGGCUCUAGGGUGAAAUACAUUUAUGAUAUAUAUGCUCCAACUUGAGGGGGAGUGCUAGGAGAAUAUCAAUAUUUUUGUAGAUAAUAUUAGUAAGGGUAUUCUUGUAAAUAGUUGGUUAGGUUUGUACUCGUAUAAAUACUAGUUGGUCACUCAUAAUACAGUGACUAGAUGUUUUCCUCCCAAGAUACCUGUUGACAGACUUAAAAAAAUCCAAGAGUCUUUUGCCCAAUGCUAAAAGCAGAUAAAGAUAUAAACAUCAUUGAACAAAAAUUAGCAUACAUGCCUUCGACUGUCAAGCUGUGCUUGUAGAAGAGGUUGGCCAUUGAUAUACAAGAUAUCAAAAGCAUAUAUGCAAACACCAACCUUUAUUUCACUCAAGACCACAUUUUUACGAGCCCGUGUGCUGAGGACCUGCCACCAAUUCAUACUUUUAAGUCUGAAUUUGUAAUACCAUUCUUACAACUCUAGCAUUUCAUCAAGUAACAAUUCAUGUGUGACACUCUUUCCAGCAAAAUGAAAAGCUGAACACCAGAAGAAGCUGGCUCCUUAAUGACAAGAAAUAUACUUAGAAGGAUAAAGUGUAGAGACAACAUAUGUUUAGGAAACCUAAGUGUGUCCCCUUUAUCCUCCUGGUGGGUGGUAGGGACAUGGUCAGUGGAAAAGAAUAGCCUGAUAUAUAUAAAUCAGUAAAAUUUGUGGACAUGUUACAAGAUUAAGCCAAGGCCCCUGAUGGAGACUAAUGAUGGUCUGUUUGCCAAAGCAUGACUUGAAUUACCUAAAAGAAACUAAAAAAAGUGCUUAUACAAAAGCAUCAAAUCAAAUACAAUAUAUUCCAAAUUCAAUUUUCAAGUUGUUUGGCCUAACAUCCAUGUAGCAUCAUCACCCCUCAAAGUGUAAAUUCCUCAUUUGAUCAACAAAAAGUAACCCAAUUAGUAAUGAAUAUGAAAUCUACCCUUAGUCAUAUUCAUCAAAAUUUCACCACCUUCAAAUAUUUUAGAGCAGACACUGGACAGAUCAAAUUGGCCGAAACUUUAAUACCUCAACACUCAAAAAUCUCCAGUUCCUAUCAUAGAAAAUCAAGAAUUAUAUGACAUCAACUGACUCAAAUGAAGCACCUGAAAUAGAUGCAAGAAAGAAGUUGCACGUGUAGUUUCAAGAUAUCCCAUAGGGGGACUGAAGGUGUCGGGAAGCAUUUCAUGUGACAGGCCCCAGGCAUGCCCUAUUUAAGUUCAUGAUGAGAUAGCCCAUAAUAGAUAGCCCUAGGAUUUUGAGCAUGCUCAAUACCAAGAUGAUUCUUACAGCACCCAAAGUUGUUGAGUUCACAAACGAAAAACAAAGAUGACUCGACCACUUUCUUCCCAAUACAGGAUUGAAGGAGAUUUGUUACUUUGCCAAUUUAAUACUUCAGCAUUGAUUGUACAUAAAUUAUUAAAAUUGUAUAUGUUGUUGUCAUAUGCCACAAUAAAGAUCAUGAAGGCUACACAAUAAGCAAUGCUAGAGCCAGAAUGGGAGACUUAAAUCAGUUAGCAAUCGAUUUUUCUAUUUAACUUCAAUUGUUCUGAUGUGCUAGCAUAGUUAAAAGGACCACUUCAGCAGGCCCAUGACAAAAUCAAAUUUACAAAGAUCUUGCACUUAGGCAAGCUCAAUAUUACAGAAGUAAACAGUUCACCUGGAAGGGGAGAAUUUUUUUCUUCUCACGAUCAAAUGCAACAAUUUCACAAUCAAGAACAAAUGAGGUUACAGACGGCCUUUUAAACCUGCAAUAAAACAGCUAAAUGUCAGGAAAAUUGAGAGAGAUUUUCUGGCAGACUUUUAAUGUUAGUAGGAAACAACUAGUCAUUCUUAAAAAUAAUCUCUACUGAUAUACUCUCAUACCCAACUAUGUAAAUUAUGUUUCUGCACAUUAAGAAAGCAAUAGACUACAAAAACCCAUCAUGAGAAGGCCCACCACAGCAGUGAAAGUACAGUGCUAAGCUCACACUGCCUUACUCAACCAAGUAAAGAGACUCUUCCUAUUCAUCAAACCAUUAACCAGCUUGUGACAGCAUGUUCCAAAUCAAAGUUGGAAUGGGCUACAAUAAAAGUACCUUGAAAUUGCAUCCACAACAUCAGGAUACUUUCCAGUGUUUCUUUCUGCAUUUCGACUAUAUAUCUCCACUGUACCAUCCUCCAUGUAGUGAAUCUGCAGGACAUGGUUAGACAAACACACAUCACCAAGACUGUGAAAGGAAAGGCAUAUAACAUAGGCGUCAUGUCUAGUUUCUUGCUACCUGAGCACGUUCUCCAUCAUACUUGUAUUCACAGGUGAAUUCAAUAUCCUGAAACUUAUCCAAUAUUUCAGAAACUCCCUUAGUUCGUUUUGCUAGCAUAGGUCCAACAGGAACACCAGGUGAAAAGCUACAUGUCUUGGGAAGAUCCCAUACACCAUCAGCAAGAAGAGCAUGGAUUAUUUUAUCAUAGACUGGAAUUACCGAGUAAACUUGUUUCACGAUUUUAGCAGCCUAAGGGAAGGAAAGCAAUUUCACAACAUGUUUAUGCAAUAAAAAAAAACUCUCUUAAAUUUGCACAUAGUAUUAGCACAAUAAUAAAAUCUAAUUAAAAAAUUGAUUCAAACUCUCUCAGAAGUUUAAAUUCAUGCCAAGAUACCUCUUCUAAAGAAGAAUCUAUAUUUGCAGGAGUUGAAGAUUGCUUAUCAGCAUAAACUGCAGCAUGGCCCAAAGCAGCUAACAGAGUUUGUUCAGCUAAACCAAUGCGCAGUUUAGCCUGCAUGUAGAGUUCAAGAAUAAUUUUCAGGGAUUAAAGGUGCCAAUUUGUGAUAUUAGAUCUUCAAUUGUCUCACCUGGAGCAGACGAAUCAAGUACUGAGGUUCACAAUCAGUAGCAGCAACCAGUAGUGCCUUGAUAUGAUUCUUUUUCUUCUCUUGACUAUCCUUACCAGAUUCCUAAUGCAAAUCACGUAGAGAUACAUUUACAAAACUAAAAGAAGUAAACCGUUAUGCUCUUCUCUAGAUCAAUAAAUUAUAAGUUAAUAUACAAGCACCAAUUCAUGUGCAUAUCUCGGCUGAUUACCCAUCAUCCCAAAAAAAAAGCCUCUCUCUCUCCCCCCUGAUGUUCAACUUUUCUCACCCGUCUCUCUCUCUUCCGUUUCCUCUGUAAUCUUUAUCUUAUUCUCGCUCUCUCUCUCUCUCUCUCUACCUAUGCUUCUCUUGCCACCCUCGCAACUUUCACUUUUACCUCCUAACCCAUCCUCUCCUCUACCGGUCAGCCCUCCAUUCAACAUGCAAUGACCAUGGAAGCCAAGCUAGAGAUAGAUAAUUGAGGUUUUUUUUUUUAUUGGUCUCAUAGUAGAUCAGCCUUUCCUACAUGUUAACAGUGUUGUGGGGGUGUUGUUGGGAAUUCAUGAUGGAUCAAAGUUUUGAUUAACAGUUUGUGGUGAUUUUGGCGGUUUUGCAGAUAUAUGAAAUUUUGAAAAAAUAGUGUGUUGUCAUUUGAAAUUGGUGGGGAUUAGUGGGAUGAUUCAAAGAGUUGAAAACAUUUCUAGUUUGGCAAGAAUGGAUGUGAUGUUAGCAGCUGCUUUUGUUGUUUGUUGUUGGCUGAGUUUUUUUUUUUUCAAUUUCGUUGUUGGCUGAGUUCGGUGGCGGUCUAGUUGCAGUCAUACAGAGUCCAUUUGGGAAGAAAGAUAACAAAGUUGGCAAAAGGGGGCAAAGAAUUAGCUAGACAUACUAAAAAAAAAUUCAGUGGAUUCCUAUUUCACCACAACAAACCAAACAUACGAAAAGAAGUUGCUAAAACCCAUUACGAUUGAGGACCUUUGAUACUCAUUGCUACUGCCAUUCCAGAAUACCAACCAAACAGGUAGUUAGUGUACUCUAGCUCUAAAACAUUUCAAAAAAUAGAUUUCAAGUUUCAUGUAUCGAAACCAAUAAAGGCAGCUAUGAAUAUCUUAAGGAAUAAGGCAAUCCAGUUUAACUCUCAUCUACAGCGAAUAAGAUCAAAGCUCAUCAUCGAAGUCCAUGAAAUGGGAAAAUUCCAAGGUACCUUAGCAAUAAGGCGAAAUGUAUCAAAAACUUUAACAACAGUUAGUGCUUCUGGUUUGCGCAUUAAAGACUGAGACGAACGGCUUGCUUUUGCAACAAGGCCUAGAUCACCAAGCUCCUGAGGCAAGUCGGAUAGUGAAGUAAUCCUUCAAAAUCAAAAAGAAGAAAGAAAUUGCGGGCAAAAACUUGCAGGAUUUUGAUAUGUCAGGAGAUUCCUGCACACAAAUUAUUAAGCAAAUAUAACUCGACUACACCAUUCGGAAGCUUUGAAUGAAAUUCUGCUCCUCUAACUACAAAAUUUCUUAAAACAAGUGCAGUGUACUCAUUGCAGAAAGAUCAGCCAGAGCCUUCCAUUAAAUCAAGCAACUAGAGUCACAGAAGUCAAGUAAAUCAUAAAGAGAAUAAAUGAUAAAUAUUUUUUUGCAAAUUGUAUCUUAGAUCAAUUAAAAAAAAAAAUUUCCAGACAAGCUACAACGUACAAAAUGUAACAACAACCAACGUACAGCUGCAGCCAAAGAAAGUAACAAGGUAAAACUAAAGCAGCUUCUCAAAUAAUGCAGUUAUUUCGUAGAACCAAAAUCGAGCCCAAAACUAAAAUCACAGGCAAAGGGUCGAAUGUUUUUGACAUCAACAUAGCACCAAAGCUAAAUUCAAAAUAUUCAAUUAAAUGUGGCAUUUGACUGGACAAGCUUUUUUUCUAAUCCCAUUCUUGAUAAUUUGUAUAAGAACAAUAGUGCUGUACUGAGUUAGUAGAUACCUUGGAAACCGAAUCAGACAACACAAUAAUCACCAUAGCAGCAUUCUACAGCAUUGAAGCCACAGCUAGGCAGAGACCUAAAUACAGCGUGGGACUUAUGUUUCUUUCUCCUCCCCUAUUCUCCAUCUCAUUUAUUAAUGUUUUGCAAUUAAUGAAACAAGGCCAAAAAUCUCUAGAAUUUCAUUUACUAGAACUGAGAACAAGUUACCAGCGAUCAUUCUGUCAUUUCACUUGAGGUACAAUUUCUUUAAUUUCUUGGCAUCGAGUUAAGAAAAGCCAACUCCACAAACAAUAAUAUUCAGAGAUAAGAAAAGAAAUUCAAUCAGUUCUAAACCACACCCAAGAUUUGAUAAACACGAGUGACUGGAAUGUAGUAGAGUUUCACCUUGUACUGCUUCUUAAUUUGUGCUUCUUUUGUUCCGCACGCCUCGGACAGAGCCUUAAUAAUCGAAGCAUCCCCAAUCCCAAGCUCCAAUCCUUCAUGAGCUAGAGCAAUCCGGUUCGCCAAAAGGUAAACAACAGCCACCAAAUCCUCUGGCGUCGUUUCCAUCACAGUCCUAAACAUGUUACAAACAAUUGCAGUUAUCGCAAUCUGCCCUGAUUCUUUAGAAAUAGCAUCCAACGCCUUUGCUACAAACAUAAACGGCACCCUUUGUCCCUUUCCCCAAUAUGCCGCCUUCUUGGGAUCAAAACUUGCCACCUUAUCCUUCAACUCAAGAAAGCUCUCAUCAAGAGUAAUUGCCACCUUAGGUUUCUUAACCACCGCUUCCUCACUUUUCCCCAGCUGGGCAUCCUUAACCUUGCUCGAAUCGUCAUUUUUCAUAUCUUUUUCCAGCUGGGCUUCUUUAAUUUGAGCUGAAUCAGGUUCUUUGACUGAAAUCGGAGCAGAAUUUUGAGAAGUGAUGAUGGGGGUGGGGGUUUUGCGUUUCUUGGGAGAUGGUUUUUGUUGUUUCUGCUCGGACUUUUUCUUGCUAGCAUUGGACAUGAGGAGGUCGAAGGCAGAAGGGCGAGAAGCCAUUGCUGCUAGUGAUCCUGGAUUAACUAAUGGAAUUGAGAGAAAGAAGGAUCUCUGAGAGAAGGGUUUUGCAGGGAAGGAAGAAUAGAUGAGAAAGUAGGGCUUAAAGCCGAGUGGUUUUCUGAGGGGAUGAAGCGAAAGAGUGUGGUGCGUAAAGUGGAGUGAAGAAGAGCAUGACCUGAAUGCGGUGAGCAACAGCUGCCGUUUUUCUGCUACGGAGAGGGAGACAACUGACACGGGUUGCUGUUGCGGAUGCGGAUGGCUAGGAGGGAAGAGGAAGGCAAAUGGCAGGAAAGGAAAUUGAGGGUUUUGUGCACUUAGGAUUGAAAAUUGCCAGAAAAGCCUUUGGAAAAAAAUUGCUGGGGAAGCCUUUUUUGGUGUUUGGGCGAUGAGUUGUUAGCAAAAUCUUGAGAGAGGGACUAAAAUUUUCAUUUCGUAAGCUAGCAAUAGGUGACUUGAAAUUUGUGAUUUGAAGGUUUGAGGUGUACCCCCCAAAAAAAUAAUAACAAAGUCGUAAGCUAGCAAUAGGCAGACUAGUGAGUUAGUGGUUUAUUAGUGGUUUAUUAUACGUUUUCUUUCACUAUGUUCACACUCUGAAGUCUGAAUUAUUCCAACCCAAUUGAUGAAAAAUGUUUUAAAAAUGUUUAGGACAAGUGCAAUAUCCACAUAGUUUAUUUUUGUGAUAUGUCGCAUCGUGGAGUGGAAACGGCAUGCAUAUAUGCUUGGGCUCGUGAGUUAUCAAGUAAUUUAGAUUAAUCUUAUUUUGUACCAUAAUUUGGAUCAAAGGUUAAUUAGGCCAACCCGUGGAUCAAAAGCGUUACAAUUUUGACUUAUUUUAUUGAUUCAAGUUUGUUCAAAAACUUUUUUUGGUAAAAAAUUUAUGCGACAUGGAAACAUAAUUUGGUGAAUUCACAAAACCAUGUAUAUUGCACAUGCCAAAAUCAGCUCGAAAGUGGAUUGUCCAACCCAAUUGUAAUGAUACAAGUUUUAAAAGAUUAGCAAAGAUGCAUACGAAGGUAAAAAAAGGUGAUUAGCAAAUGUGUUUACGAAAAAAAAAAUUUAAAAGAAAACAGUUUUCCAAAAUUUUAACUCUCGCACCCAUUCCUACACUUUUCUACUCCCAACUGUCAAGUUCAGAAUUCGAACUUUGAACUCGACGACGUUGGUCAUUGGACCAAUCCCAAUGCUUAAUUUUACCAAACUUGCAAAACAAGAAAUAAGAUAUAAAGACCGACCAAAACGUCUAUAAGUAUACUGAUCAUCACAAAUAAUAUAAAAUCUGUUUUGACUUGCCAAACUUAGGUUAUUUGCAUGAGUUUCUUCAUUGUUUUUUAAUUUUAAAAAUAAUUGAUAUCCCUCUUCUGAAAGUCUCUCCACAGUCUCCACACACGGGGUUGAUGGAACAGUUUUUGAAUGAGAGCCAUUCAUGUCAUGUUGUUGAUUGGAGUUCCAGAAAAAAAAAACUCCAAAUUCCAUCUGCAACUGGCUGUGGUGGUACGCUGGUACAGAACAAAAAAUCUAUAAUAAGAUAAACAAUGGAAUGUAGUUGUAAUGAUGAACCCCUACCUAAACCUAAAUAAACGGAAUAAUUAAUACACCACCAAAUCAAUAAUUGUAUCAUAUUCUACAUGUUCUUUCCUUCUCGAACUAGCUUGCAACUGGUUUUGAUACGUCAGGUUUCUUUACAGGGACUAGACUACAACUACUUGUAUGGAGGAAGAAACUCCAAGUUCCUGAGUCCACGAAUUUCGGAUCCCACCAGUGAUUUUUGUGUUGUUGGUCAUGAUUAGUUUCUUCUUAUCUUCUCCCCAGUGCAGGACGGUUGGUCAACUGAACAUGCAAGUUGAUAAUUGCUCAAUUCUUCAAUGAUAAUAAUGUUGAUGAAAAACUCACAAAUUAUGCAGAACGAUCUGGAGCAGAAGGGCCUGCAUUGAUUGCUUAUCAUGAGAAUCCACUUCACUUGGGCAGAGAGCUAGGGGGUGAGCAUGAGAAAUGGCAGCUACCCGUUUGGAUUGCAUUUUUCGUCAUUUUUCAUGAAAAAAUUACUGUAGCGAUUUGAUGUACGUAAGGAAAAAAGAUAAUAGAAAAAUGUGUUCACGAAAAACGACGCAAUUUUCUGGUAAAAAAUGGCAAUCCAAACACACUGGCUUCAACUACUUGGUCCACUAAUAUUGCUGCUGCAUAUGGAGGUUGAGAAACAGGGAUGGUGUUGGUUUGUGGGUCCCCCUUAGACUGACUUUAGGGUCCGUUCUUUCGUUGACUCAUGAGUGUUUCUAAUCUAACUGUGUGUGUUCUUCUUCUGUCUAUAGAAAAAAGAAAGUGUAGUAAACUUUUUUCAUUCUUAUUACUCCCUCCGUCCCACUUUGAUUGUCCUGUUUUUUUUCACACAAUUUAAGGAAAAAUAGUUAAUUUUGUUGAAAAAGUAAAUUUAGAUUGCCAUUUUUCUAAAAUAUCCUUACAUCAAAUAUGGUACAACUUUAUGGGAACUUAGAAUUGAUGGUAAAAAAAGAAUAAACUCUUAUUAAAUGGAGUAGAUUUAUAGUAACAACUACUUACAUUGAAUAAGGGUAUAUUAGAAAAAUUAAAAUACAACUACAUUCUUCAAUUGAAAAGUGGACUACAAUUUGGGAUAGAUGAAAAAGGAAUACAGGACUAUCAAAGUGGGACGGAGGGAGUAUGAUACUUUUAUUAUAGUUCAUAAGCCCAAAAAAAAAAGAAAGAAAGUGUAGUAACAUUUGAUUCGUAGUCAUUAUAUAUAUUAUUAAAAUGCAUGCAUAUACAUUUAUAAUAUUUUUUUAAUUUAAUUUCACCCUUUCAAAAAAAGUACUACUGUAUGAAAUCAAUUUUGGCAGUGUCCACUAGAUAGCAUUAGACAAUUAAGACAUAAUAGGGAUUGCAAUAAUGUUUUUUAAAAAAAAAUUUCCAAUCAGUAACCGACACACUACUCAUUUUCCAAAAUCAGCUCUUGUAAUUCCACUUUCACCUGCAGUUCACGGGCUUCCCAUAGAAAAUCCAUCCUAAUUUAAACUGUGCAGUUUUUGCGGGGAGACCAUCCAUCUACAUCUGGUAGGUCAAGACUUGUAUAGGAUUUAGGCUACUGAUUGAUGAGUCAACAAAAAAAAACAAAAAAACAAAAAGAAAGAAUCUUUACCCCUGAAGUUUAAACAAACAAAACAUUAAAUUAUUGUAGACAUGACCUCGUGGAAAUCUGCUCUUAUUAAAAUGUUUUGAAAUUAACCAAGCAGACAAAAGAAGAUUUGGCAUUCCAAGAAAUACAAAAUUAGUGUCAGUUAAUAAGGGUUAAUUUGGUUUCUUUCUCAUGUUUGGUAACUCUCUUCAUGCUGCUUCGAUUUGGUAGCAUAAAUUACAAAGGAGAGUGACUAAACAAUUGACCAAAAGAGAACAGGACAGAAUGGAACAUUUGCAAUGUUGUCAUGGAGUUCGAUCUGACAAGAUGUGGAGUAGAUCACUCUAUAUUUUAUCGGCAUUCUAAUGCUAGUAAAAUUUUAUUAGUUGUUUAUGUGAAAAAUAUUGUGAUUACAAGUGAUGAUGUUGUGAGGAUCCAGAAACUUAAAUCCAAUCUGCAGGCAAACUUUCAGACAAAAGAUUUAGGUCAUCUACAGUAUUUUUUGUGUAUUGAGGUAGCUCGGUCUAAAUAUGGGAUUUAUUUAUGUCAAAGGAAAUAUGUACUCAAUAUGUUGAGUGAAGUUGGGAUGUUAGGUUGCCGACCUGUGGAUACUCCUAUGGAUCCCAAUGUGAAAUUAGUAGGAGAUCAAGGUGCAUUACUUGAUGAUCCUAAGCAAUAUCGAAAACUUGUGGGUAAAUUAAAUUAUCUCACUGUAACGAGAUCUGACAUUUCAUUUGCAGUGUGUGUUGUGACUCAAUUUCUUGAUGCCCCUCGUACUAGUCAUUGGGAUGCUGUUAUACGAAUUUUCAAGUAUCUUAAGAGUGCUUCUGAGAAAGGGUUGCUGUAUCAAAAUCAUGGACAUACUAAUAUUGAAGGAUAUAGUGAUGCAGAUUGGACUGGUUCUGCCUCAGAUCGAAAAUCGACCAAAGGAUAUUGUGUGUUUUUGGUGGUAAUUUAGUGUCGUGCAAGAGUAAGAAGCAAACAAUUGUCUCCAGAUCAAGUGCAAAAUCUGAAUGACUCACUGUAUGUGAGUUGGUUUGGUUGAAGAGCAUGUUACUUGAAAUUGAGUUUGAGCAUAAACAACUUAUAAAUUUAGUGUGUGAUAAUCAGGCAGCUGUCCAUAUUGCGUCUAAUCCAGUGUUUCAUGGAAGGACAAAACAUAUUUAAAUUAAUUGUUACUUCAUUCGAGAGAAAUUGCUUGACGGAGUCAUCUAGACAUCUCAUGUACCGUAUGUAGAUCAAUUGGCUGAUUUGUUUACCAAGAAUUUAGGGGGCUCUAGGGUGAAAUACACUUAUGAUAUAUAUGCUCCAACUUGAGGGGGAGUGCUAGGAGAAUAUCAAUAUUUUUAUAGAUAAUAUUAGUAAGGGUAUUCUUGUAAAUAGUUGGUUAGGUUUGUACUCCUAUAAAUACUAGUUGGUCACUCAUAAUACAGUGAUUAGAUGUUUUCCUCCCAAGAUACCUGUUGACAGACUUAAAAAAAUCCAAGAGUCUUUUGCCCAAUGCUAAAAGCAGGUAAAGAUAUAAACAUCAUUGAACAAAAAUUAGCAUACCUGCCUUCGACUGUCAAGCUGUGCUUGUAGAAGAGGUUGGCCAUUGAUAUACAAGAUAUCAAAAGCAUAUAUGCAAACACCAACCUUUAUUUCACUCAAGACCACAUUUUUACGAGCCCGUGUGCUGAGGACUUGCCACCAAUUCAUACUUUUAAGUCUGAAUAUGUAAUACCAUUCUUACAACUCUAGCAUUUCAUCAAGUAACAAUUCAUGUGUGACACUCUUUCCAGCAAAAUGAAAAGCUGAACACCAGAAGAAGCUGGCUCCUAAAUGACAAGAAAUAUACUUAGAAGGAUAAAGUGUAGAGACAACAUAUGUUUAGGAAACCUAAGUGUGUCCCCUUUAUCCUCCUGGUGGGUGGUAGGGACAUGGUCAGUGGAAAAGAAUAGCCUGAUAUAUAUAAAUCAGUAAAAUUUGUGGACAUGUUACAAGAUUAAGGCAAGGCCCCUGAUGGAGACUAAUGAUGGUCUGUUUGCCAAAGCAUGAUUUGAAUUACCUAAAAGAAACUAAAAAAAGUGCUUAUACAAAAGCAUCAAAUCAAAUACAAUAUAUUCCAAAUUCAAUUUUCAAGUUGUUUGGCCUAACAUCCAUGUAGCAUCAUCACCCCUCAAAGUGUAAAUUCCUCAUUUGAUCAACAAAAAGUAGCCCAAUUAGUAAUGAAUCUACCCUUAGUCAUAUUCAUCAAAAUUUCACCACCUUCAAAUAUUUUAGAGCAGACACUGGACAGAUCAAAUUGGCCGAAACUUUAAUACCUCAACACUCAAAAAUCUCCAGUUCCUAUCAAAGAAAAUCAAGAAUUAUAUGACAUCAACUGACUCAAAUGAAGCACCUGAAAUAGAUGCAAGAAAGAAGUUGCACGUGUAGUUUCAAGAUAUCCCAUAGGGGGACUGAAGGUGUCGGGAAGCAUUUCAUGUGCCAGGCCCCAGGCAUGCCCCAUUUAAGUUCAUGAUGAGAUAGCCCAUAAUAGAUAGCCCUAGGAUUUUGAGCAUGCUCAAUACCAAGAUGAUUCUUACAGCACCCAAAGUUGAUGAGUUCACAAACGAAAAACAAAGAUGACUCGACCACUUUCUUCCCAAUACAGGAUUGAAGGAGAUUUGUUACUUUGCCAAUUUAAUACUUCAGCAUUGAUUGUACAUAAAUUAUUAACAUUGUAUAUGUUGUUGUCAUAUGCCACAAUAAAGAUCAUGAAGGCUACACAAUAAGCAAUGCUAGAGCCAGAAUGGGAGACUUAAAUCAGUUAGCAAUCGAUUUUUCUAUUUAACUUCAAUUGUUCUGAUGUGCUAGCAUAGUUAAAAGGACCACUUCAGCAGGCCCAUGACAAAAUCAGAUUUACAAAGAUCUUGCACUUAGGCAAGCUCAAUAUUACAGAAGUAAAUAGUUCACCUGGAAGGGGAGAAUUUUUUUCUUCUCACGAUCAAAUGCAACAAUUUCACAAUCAAGAACAAAUGAGGUUACAGACGGCCUUUUAAACCUGCAAUAAAACAGCUAAAUGUCAGGAAAAUUGAGAGAGAUUUUCUGGCAGACUUGUAAUGUUAGUAGGAAACAACUAGUCAUUCUUAAAAAUAAGCUCUACUGAUAUACUCUCAUACCCAACUAUGUAAAUUAUAUUUCUGCUCAUUAAGAAAGCAAUAGACUACAAAAACCCAUCAUGAGAAGGCCCACCACAGCAGUGAAAGUACAGUGCUAAGCUCAGACAGCCUUACUCAACCAAGUAAAGAGACUCUUCCUGUUCAUCAAACCAUUAACCAGCUUGUGACAGCAUGUUCCAAAUCAAAGUUGGAAUGGGCUACAAUAAAAGUACCUUGAAAUUGCAUCCACAACAUCAGGAUACUUUCCAGUGUUUCUUUCUGCAUUUCGACUAUAUAUCUCCACUGAACCAUCCUCCAUGUAGUGAAUCUGCAGGACAUGAUUAGACAAACACACAUCACCAAGACUGUGAAAGGAAAGGCAUAUAACAUAGGCGUCAUGUCUAGUUUCUUGCUACCUGAGCACGUUCUCCAUCAUACUUGUAUUCACAGGUGAAUUCAAUAUCCUGAAACUUAUCCAAUAUUUCAGAAACUCCCUUAGUUGGUUUUGCUAGCAUAGGUCCAACAGGAACACCAGGUGAAAAGCUACAUGUCUUGGGAAGAUCCCAUACACCAUCAGCACGAAGAGCAGGGAUUAUUUUAUCAUAGACUGGAAUUACCGAGUAAACUUGUUUCACGAUUUUAGCAGCCUGAGGGAAGGAAAGCAAUUUCACAACAUGUUUAUGCAAUAAACAAAAAACUCUCUUAAAUUUGCACAUAGUAUAAGCACAAUAAUAAAAUCUAAUUAAAAAAUUGAUUCAAACUCUCUCAGAAGUUUAAAUUCAUGCCAAGAUACCUCUUCUAAAGAAGAAUCUAUAUUUGCAGGAGUUGAAGAUUGCUUAUCAGCAUAAACUGCAGCAUGGCCCAAAGCAGCUAACAGAGUUUGCUCAGCUAAACCAAUGCGCAGUUUAGCCUGCAUGUAGAGUUCAAGAAUAAUUUUCAGGGAUUAAAGGUGCCAAUUUGUGAUGUUAGAUCUUCAAUUGUCUCACCUGGAGCAGACGAAUCAAGUACUGAGGUUCACAAUCAGUAGCAGCAACCAGUAGUGCCUUGAUAUGAUUCUUUUUCUUCUCUUGACUAUCCUUACCAGAUUCCGAAUGCAAAUCACAUAGAGAUACAGUUACAAAACUAAAAGAAUUAAACCGUUAUGCUCUUCUCUAGAUCAAUAAAUUAUAAGUUAAUAAACAAGCACCAAUUCAUGUGCAUAUCUCGGCUGAUUACCCAUCAUCCCAAAAAAAAAAGCCUCUCUCUCUCCCCCCUGAUGUUCAACUUUUCUCACCCGUCUCUCUCUCUUCCGUUUCCUCUGUAAUCUUUAUCUUACUCUCUCUCUCUCUCUCUCUCUACCUAUGCUUCUCUUGCCCCCCUCGCAACUUUCACUUUUACCUCCUAACCCAUCCUCUCCUCUACCGGUCAGCCCUCCCUUCAACAUGCAAUGACCAUGGAAGCCAAGCUAGAGAUAGAUAAUUGAGGUUUUUUUUUGUUGGUCUCAUGGUAGAUCAGCCUUUCCUACAUAUUAACAGUGUUGUGGGGGUGUUGUUGGGAAUUCAUGAUGGAUUAAAGUUUUGAUUAACAGUUUGUGGUGAUUUUGGCGGUUUUGCAGAUAUAUGAAAUUUUGAAAAAAUAGUGUGUUGUCAUUUGAAAUUGGUGGGGAUUAGUGGGAUGAUUCAAAGAGUUGAAAACAUUUCUAGUUUGGCAAGAAUGGAUGUGAUGUUAGCAGCUGCUUUUGUUGUUUGUUGUUGGCUGAGUUUUUUUUUUUCAAUUUCGUUGUUGGCUGAGUUCGGUGGCGGUCUAGUUGCAGUCAUACAGAGUCCAUUUGGGAAGAAAGAUAACAAAGUUGGCAAAAGGGGGCAAAGAAUUAGCUAGACAUUCUAAAAAAAAAAAUUCAGUGGAUUCCUAUUUCACCACAACAAACCAAACAUACGAAAAGAAGUUGCUAAAACCCAUUACGAUUGAGGACCUUUGAUACUCAUUGCUAUUGCCAUUCCAGAAUACCAACCAAACAGGUAGUUAGUGUACUCUAGCUCCAAAACAUUUCAAAAAAUAGAUUUCAAGUUUCAUGUAUGGAAACCAAUAAAGGCAGCUAUGAAUAUCUUAAGGAAUAAGGCAAUCCAGUUUAACUCUCAUCUACAGCGAAUAAUAUCAAAGCUCAUCAUCGAAGUCCAUGAAAUGGGAAAAUUCCAAGGUACCUUAGCAAUAAGGCGAAAUGUAUCAAAAACUUUAACAACAGUUAGUGCUUCUGGUUUGCGCAUUAAAGACUGAGACGAACGGCUUGCUUUUGCAACAAGGCCUAGAUCACCAAGCUCCUGAGGCAAGUCGGAUAGUGAAGUAAUCAUUCAAAAUCAAAAAGAAGAAAGAAAUUGCGGGCAAAAACUUGCAGGAUUUUGAUAUGUCAGGAGAUUCCUGCACACAAAUUAUUAAGCAAAUAUAACUAGACUACACCAUUCGCAAGCUUUGAAUGAAAUUCUGCUCCUCUAACUACAAAAUUUCUUAAAACAAGUGCAGUGUACUCAUUGCAGAAAGAUCAGCCAGAGCCUUCCAUUAAAUCAAGCAACUAGAGUCACAGAAGUCAAGUAAAUCAUAAAGAGAAUAAAUGAUAACUUUUUUUUUGCAAAUUGUAUCUUAGAUCAAUUAAAAAAAAAAAUUUUCCAGACAAGCUACAGCGUACAAAAUGUAACAACAACCAACGUACAGCUGCAGCCAAAGAAAGUAACAAGGUAAAACUAAAGCAGCUUCUCAAAUAAUGCAGUUACUUCGUAGAACCAAAAUCGAGCCCAAAACUAAAAUCACAGGCAAAGGGUCGAAUGUUUUUGACAUCAACAUAGCACCAAAGCUAAAUUCAAAAUAUUCAAUUAAAUGUGGCAUUUGACUGGACAAGCUUUUUUUCUAAUCCCAUUCUUGAUAAUUUGUAUAAGAACAAUAGUGCUUGUACUGAGUUAGUAGAUACCUUGCAAACCGAAUCAGACAACACAAUAAUCACCAUAGCAGCAUUCUACAGCAUUGAAGCCACAGCUAGGCAGAGACCUAAAUACAGCGUGGGACUUAUGUUUCUUUCUCCUCCCCUAUUCUCCAUCUCAUUUAUUAAUGUUUUGCAAUUAAUGAAACAAGGCCAAAAAUCUCUAGAAUUUCAUUUACUAGAACUGAGAACAAGUUACCCGCGAUCAUUCUGUCAUUUCACUUGAAGUACAAUUUCUUUAAUUUCUUGGCAUCGAGUUAAGAAAAGCCAACUCCACAAACAAUAAUAUUCAGAGAUAAGAAAAGAAAUUCAAUCAGUUCUAAACCACACCCAAGAUUUGAUAAACACAAGUGACUGGAAUGUAGUAGAGUUUCACCUUGUACUGCUUCUUAAUUUGUGCUUCUUUUGUUCCGCACGCCUCGGACAGAGCCUUAAUAAUCGAAGCAUCCCCAAUCCCAAGCUCCAAUCCUUCAUGAGCUGGAGCAAUCCGGUUCGCCAAAAGGUAAACAACAGCCACCAAAUCCUCUGGCGUCGUUUCCAUCACAGUCCUCAACAUGUUACAAACAAUUGCAGUUAUCGCAAUCCGCCCUGAUUCUUUAGAAAUAGCAUCCAACGCCUUUGCUACAAACAUAAACGGCACCCUUUGUCCCUUUCCCCAAUAUGCCGCCUUCUUGGGAUCAAAACUUGCCGCCUUAUCCUUCAACUCAAGAAGGCUCUCAUCAGGAGUAAUUGCCACCUUAGGUUUCUUAACCACCGCUUCCUCACUUUUCCCCAGCUGGGCAUCCUUAAUCUUGCUCGAAUC
This 64456-nucleotide long non-coding RNA is filed under the name Coffea arabica (coffee). RNAcentral describes it as "long non-coding RNA (CARA_LNC007145)". The record is from RNAcentral. Lineage: Eukaryota; Viridiplantae; Streptophyta; Magnoliopsida; Gentianales; Rubiaceae.